CUUGGGUGGUGAUGGUGGUGGAGGUGGUGGGGACUUGUACUUGUAAGGGUGCUUGGGUGGUGAUGGCGGUGGAGGUGGUGGAGACUUAUACUUGUAAACUGGAGAUGGUGGGGGUGGAGACUUGUACUUGUAAGGGUGCUUGGGUGGUGAUGGUGGGGGUGGGGGUGGGGGUGGGGACUUGUACUUGUAGGGGUGUUUGGGUGGUGAUGGUGGUGGUGGUGGUGGGGACUUGUACUUGUAAGGAUGCUUGGGUGGUGAUGGUGUUGGAGGUGGAGGAGACUUGUACUUGUAAGGAUGCUUGGGUGGUGAUGGAGGAGGUGGUGGGGACUUAUACUUGUAAACAGGAGUUGGUGGGGGAGGAGAUUUGUACUUGUAAGGCUUCUUGUGUGGUGGUGGUGGUGGUGGAGAGUAGACCGGAGGAGGCGGUGGUGGAGACUUGUAAUGGUAAGGUGGUGGUGGGUACUUCUUAGGAGGUGGUGGAGGAGAAGAAUAAGUGUAAUCUGCUGAGGUUUCAAAAGGCAAAUUGAGAGACACUGCUAAAACUAAAAGAGUGAGAAAGAGAGAGGUCAUUGAUGACCCCAUUUUCCCCAUACUUCUAAAAAUGGGUUUAAUUUGGUUAUGCUCUUAGCAACCCUCUUCACUCCCUUUAUAUAGACUUUUUUUUUAACCUUAUAAUCAUGAUAAAAGUUUGAAGAUGGACCGAACCUUCAGCAGCAUGUAAAAAAGACAUUACGUUUAGGUUAUUAGCAUGGUAUGAUAUAAUAAUUCUCUAUUCUCUUCCUUGUCGUUUCCCAUAAAUUCAAUUUUCUCUAUUAAAUAUUUAUCAAAUUCAUUUCUCACUCCCUAUUAAUUCUUUAAUAAGUUUAUAGAAUAUGAAUAAUUAAUCAUUAAACUCGAUUUAAUAAAUACUUUAAACAAUUAAUAAUUUAUCUUAUUUUAUGCUUUAAUUAAGGCAUCAAAUCAUAAUCCUAUUUUAUAUUUUGAAAAUUUAUCAUUUUUUAAAGAACUUAAUUGAUUAAAAUGUGAUUCUAAUAUUUGGCAGGAAAAAUUAGUUUACUUUCCUUAGAAUGUAAUAUUCUUUUGAGAGUUAUUUUCUUACUAAUAAUAGAAAGUGAUAAUUCGUGAGAAAAUUACUUUCACAUGUAAAUAAAAAUUAUUAGAACAAAAAAUUAACUUUCUUUUAUUUAUGUUUAGGUACUAAUUAACUUAUUGAGAUAAAGAUAGUUGUAGCUUGCUUUUUCAUGUCAUUUUCUUAUCUUUACAACUUCAAACCAUUAUUCUAGAGUAAGUUUUUUUUUUUUUUUCUAAAUAGUAGAUAAAUAUCUAUAUUUUAUUUUGCUAUAAGAAAAUUAUAUUUUUUAGCAUACAAAACUUAAAGACAACUUGUAGAAUCAAGUAAUUCUAUGAAAAGCAAGCCUAUUCACAUAUAAUACCUAUUACUCUAGCAAUAAUAAUAUUGACAUUGUCUAAAUUUUCUAAUAAAAAAAUUAUAUAAUUUGUAUGUGUUAAAAAUGAAAAAUAUGGCGGUUAUUAAAAAAGAUUUCAUACAUCUAAAUGAAACUACUAAUUUAAAAAUUAGUAUUGAGAUAAUUUCAAGUUAAUAUUGAAUAUACUUGAAUUUGUACAUACAAAGUAAUGAGGGUAAAAAUUUUGUAAAUUGUACAUCUUCACAAUCUUGAGUUAAUAUACAAUUUUUUAAUGUAUUAAUAUAAUGUUUUAGAUCAAGAUGUGAAAAAACAUAACUCAAAUAUUUGUUAAUAAUAAAAAAUUAUUAAUAAAUAUUUAAUUCAAAAUUUAUUAAUAAUAAAAAUUAUUGAAAAAUAUUAAAUACGUUAAUAUUAUUUUUAUAUAAUAAUGAUAAUUUUGUACAGUAAUCUUAUAUUCUCAAUAAGUGUUAAAUGUCUCAAGAUUUUAAUUAAUACUUUUCAGUGGUUACCAAACAUUGUGAAAUAACUUCUUGAACAAUGAUAUUCUUAUCAAUCACAUUCCAUUAGAAAUUUAACAUAGGAAAGCACCAAAACAACCGCUUAAAAAUGAAUGUGCAUGAUUAAAAUCGCGAUAAGUCUUGUUUAUCUAAAAUUUAAAUAUUCAUUUUAUUAUUUAAAAUAUAUUAAUUUUCCAAAAACAAUCAUUAAUAUUUAUAUUUCUAAUUUUAAACAUUCUUUUGUUAAUUAAAUGAUAGUGUAAACGGUUAAACUCAAAUCGAAAGCAUUUUAUCUUAUAGUAGAUUAUAUGACUCAUAUUAUGGUUGAAAGUAAAAUGUAUAAAAUCAAUACAAACAUCAAAUAUUAAACUUGCACUCAAUAGAUUUUAAAAUUUCUAAUUUUACCACUAAUCUAUUUUAAGAUUUUUAAAAAAUCGUACUUUAGAUUAUCUAAUUUAAAUUUUAAAAUUAUUAAAAAUAAAAAAAUUCUUAAUAAAAAAAUUUGUUUCAAAUUUUUAACCUUUUAAUAUAAUUGUUUUAACUGGUUAUCUAAACUAAAUAAAAACUUAUUUAGUAUAAAAAAAAGUGGUAAAUGUGAAAGGAGCACAAAUCACAACUACAAUAUGCUACAUUAGUUUUAUAAUUGGAUUAAUUUAAUCACCGGCAGAGGAAAUGUGUUAGUUCUAGCUACCACCAAUUUAUUUUAAUUCCUUUAAAAAUAUUAGAAAAAAUCAAUUUGAUUUUUAAUAAUAGAUCUAAUUACUUAAAGGAACAUCGGUGAUGUCCACAUGGCAUACAAGGUUAAGCAUAUAAAAAAAGAACAAAAAGAUUAAGUAUCUUUGCAAGAUAGCUUUCUGAAAUAAAUAAAACUUAAAUAAAAACAAUUUUAUUAUCAAAAUAAAAAGAAAAAAGAAAAGAAAUACUAGUGUUUUUAAUUAAAAUAGAGUGAUCUGGGUAGAAUCUUUUACUUAAAUACUGACAUUGACUUUAUAAGCUAUUUUUUAUCAAAAGAAGAAAGAGAAAAGCAUCCGAUUGAAGAUGUGAAUUAUUAAAUUAAAAUUAAUCAUACAUGUAAAAUUUUAUUGUGCUUUUUUCUAGCCCUCCGAAUGACAUUAUGCUUUGAUUACAACAUUCUUGCUCAGAGAUCGGGUUUGAAGAUGAACUCGGAUGCAUUUAGAUUUUUACAAGUAAAUUAAAGGAUGUUAGAACUUGUAUUCCGAUAAACUUAUAAUACAGAAAGCAAGUAAUAUGUGACUGUACAUAAUGGCUAUGAGGCGAGGAUAUGAUAUGAGAAGAUAGAGAUGAGAGAUUGCACUUAAGGGGUUAACACCACUUUCCUUUUUGUGUUUGGUCCCCAAAGCAUCUCUUAUUGGCUGAUGUUGCAAGGCCGUCCCAUAAGUUGGUCUAAAAGUGCUUGAUAGCUAGAAUUAAUAUUGUGGUAUAACAUAUGUCACCACUAGGUUUGAAUAAGGUUACACAGUGAUUUGAUGAAGAUUUAAAAAAGCAUAGAGAUAAUUAUGUUGCAAAUAUUGUAAAAGUAAGAGCUAAAUUGUUUGGCUUUAUUAGAGUUUAGACUCUGUUAGUCUAUUACCAUUCUCUAUUAGUCUGUUACCAUUUUGUUAUAUAGGCUGUAAUAUUGUUAGAAAGCAGUUAGCAGCUGUUAGUCAUAGUAGUUAGUCAUACAAAUAUAAAUUCUAUUCAUGUAUUGUUCAAAGGUAAGCUAAUAAUAUCAGAAGCGAUUUAAUGUAUUCAUUCUACUUUUUUUUUAUUCUUCAUAAUACAGUUGUUAACAUGGUAUCAGUACCCUAAUUUCUUAGAGGUCGCUUCUAUUGUAGAUCCAUGGCCAAUUCCACUGAUUCUACCUCCACUGGUCGUAGCAGUCCCUCGUUCUCGAUUCAUGUUUGGUUCAAUCGUUUCCUCGUCGUCACACUGAGAAGUUAGAUGAAAGAAAUGUUAUGCAAUGCCAACAGCAUAUCCUAUUGAUAAUUGAAGGGUAUGAACUCAUAAGAUUUUUAGAAGGGACGUUACCUACUCCGCCUCGCUUUGUGUCAUCUCCCGAUGGAACCUUGGCUUCGGCUCCCGAUGCAUUCCUGUUUGUUCAGCAAGAUAAGUUACUCGCUCUUUGGUUGCUUUCUACGAUUAGUGCUCCUUUGUUGUCCUCUUUUAUAGCUGCUAAGACACCGUGUGAGGUUUGGAGCACUGUGAAUCACCUCUUUACUGUUUCCACCAGAGCGAAGUUAUCGCGUAUUAAGCAUGAACUCCACUCCAUCAAGAAAGGCAUGAUGACUGUCAAAGAGUAUAUUAUUAAGAUUCAAAAUACCUGCACCUUACUCGAGGCAUCUGGAUUGGUGGUUUCGAAGGCCGAGAAGGUAGAGAUCAUUCUUGCUGGCCUAUCGUCAGAUUAUGAUGUCGUUUUAACACUACCAUAGUUCUCUUCUGAAACUCUUCCGUUACAGAAGAUAGUUGUUGUGCUACUGAAGUUCGAAAGCCGUCAGACUCAUGUCGUGAAUGACAUACCUUUUCAUGCUCAUCUGGUAGAGGCCACUUCGGCGACAUCGGUGGAGGACUCCGUACAUGGUAGCCAUCCUCCUCCUGGUGCUCGUGGGCAUGACUUUCGACUCGGCUUCAGUUCCAGAUCUAUGGUUGCUAUGGACAUCUGGCACAACGCUGUUAUUAUCAUUUCAACCGCGAAUACAGUGGUCUAUCUGCUCUGACCAUGGCGCAGGCUUCGCUUUUGUGCUGGGCACUAUUCGUGUGACAAUGUUUUUGGUGCAACUGGUCUCUUGACCGGCUGGUUUCCAUCAGCUCAUCCUAGUUCAAACCCCUUCGAUGUGCCUGGACAGUGUGCCGAUUCUUCGGUGACGGUACCGGCGCAUUUCCCUUAUGGCUCCUCUUGGGGAGGAUGGCCACAUUUGUAAAACAAUGCCUCCCUUGUGCCAAGUCUACCGAAUGUUAGGGUUUCUAACCUUUUUGCUCCUAAUUUUAACAAUGAGGCAAGCUAAGUGUUUGGGCCCGCUGUUGAACCAGGCUCAAAUAGUGACCAAUCUGGUGGUCCUCACUUGCCGCUGAAGAUGGGCUAACGCAUUGGGCCAUUCGCUGGUGUUCCUAGGCCAACUGCUUCAGGCCAAGAUUUUGGCCUAAAUGGAAUUGGUAGGCCAGCCAGUGCUCGUCCUAGCAUUGGAUAGGGUUCACUUGGGUCAAAUGUCAAUUUUAUUGGACUUGAGGGUUCUUUUGGGUAUAGACAAGAGUUUGGGCCCACCACUGGCAAUGUUUCAGUGCCAAUUAAUAGAUCAUGUGUUCCAUGGCACACAAAAUCGAGGGCACGCGUUAUUGAUUUUGAUUCUUCGCUGUGCGUUGGGUUGCAUCGCUUUACUAAUUUUCACGCAUCCGAUUUUUUUACUACCACUGGGUCUAAUGCCAAUACAACUCCAUAUAGGUCUAAUUUUGAUAAUGGUAAUUCUUACAUUCCUAUGCCUAUAGGGACCUCAUCAUGGUGUCUUGAUUUAGGGGCUACGCAUCAUGUCUGUUGAGAAGUCUCUGCCUUGAAUAAGUCUACGCCAUACUCAAGUACAUCUCCUUUCUUCACGGAUGAUGGUAUUCCUACAAAAAUAUCGUAUGUUCGGAAUCUUAUCUUGUCUAUGAAAACCAAAUUGCUUCAUUUGUCUAAUGUUUUGUGUGUGCCAAAUAUACGGAAGAAUUUGCUAUUUGUUUCUCAGUUUGCUAAUGACAAUAACGUGUUCUUUAAAUAUCACCUGUCUUAUUGUGUUAUUAAAGACAUCCAGACUCAUGAAAUUUUACUACGGGGCUACACUCGUGAUGGGCUCUAUUAUUUUUCGUCGGUUACUCUUGCUCUGUUUGUCGUUGUUCCUUUUUUCAUAGCACUGGGAUCUAGAGUCGCAAUGCAUAUGAUGAUUGUUUUGCAUUAUGGCAUCACAGGCAUAGUCAUUUGUCUGCCUCGAUUGUUAAACUUGUUCUCGAUAAGUGUCAAGUUGUUUCAAAAUAAAAUGUGCCUUGAAAAUAUUUGUAUUGCAUGUCAAAACGGGAAGUCUCACAAACUGCCUUUUUCAAGUUCUACUACUGAAUAUACAAAUUUGUUUGAUUUGGUUGUCUCUAACUUAUGGGGACCAACGUCUGUUGUCUGUAGAAAUAAUUUAUAUUAUGUUUUGUUUAUCGAGAUGUGUAGUUGAUAAACCGUAAUUUAUACAUAUUUUUAUCCUAUGUUUGGCACAUUUAUAGAUGAUUUAUCCUUAGAUUUGGUGAAUUCGAUGCUCCUAAUCCUUUAAUUUCAUAUUUUAUACUUAGGAGAGCAUAGGAGGGCAAAAAGAGCGAGAAACGGGCCGAAAACGGAAAAAAUAGACCCACAUGGGAAAUCAACAUGGCCUGGACUUCCUCACACUGGUAAGCCACACGGCCGUGUCCAUUUGGCAGGAUCGAAGCAAGACUUACACGAGUAGACUACACGCCCGUGCCUUUUUAAUAGCCUUGACCACUGUCUGGAGCAAUCGCGCACGGGCAUGUCCCUGUCGAGCCCAAGUAUAGUCUUAUUCGGAAAAGGUCUAUUUUAAGGGCUCUUAGGCAUUCUAAAGCUUAUUUAAUCACCUGAGAAGGCACUUAAAAGGGGGGACACGGAGUAGGAAGCAAGGAAUUACUCGAAGAAAGCCGAUUGAUCCAUCUCAGAAGCCUGAUUAUUCAUCAAGACUGAAAAUCUCCCUUCAAUUACCAUUCAGGAGUUUUGGGUUUUCUUUAUGUUUUGUAUUCAUUAUUCUUCUGAGAUGUUUUCUUUUAUAAUUAUGAUUUAAACCCUCUAAAUACCUAAGGGGAAUGAAACCUAAACGGAUCUUGUUAUUAUUAUCUGAAUUAUAUGAUAAAUAUUUGACUUGUUUUUAAUUAUAUGUUCUUAAUUCUUGUCUUAAUAUUCCAGGAUAUUGAUUCAAGUUAAUGCGCUUAUUCAGAGGAGCAAAAGUCCCUGUCUAAGAGUAAAUUUGUCAUAAUUAAACAGAGUUGAUUGCACACCUAAAGAUAGGGUAACAAGAUUUUGCCGAAUUAGGGUGAAACCUAAUAAGGAGAUCCAUAGAUCGAGUUAAUGCAACACUAGGGCGUUAAAUAGAAAGAGAUUUCAAUUAAUCAACCUAGGGUUAGAUGUUAUUAGUCUUGAGAGAGAUAAUAAUAUAACUUAGGGAUUUGUACGGAUCAUGUCAAAUGGAUAAAUCGACUGAUUCAGAGUCAAAUAACAAGUGAAGUCUAGGUGGAUUUUUCCUUGGGUAUUGUCCUAAUCAAGCGAAUUUUCUAAAAGUAUUUUCCCCAAUUUUUCAAGCGAAUUUUCUAAAAGUAUUUUCCCCAAUUUUCUUUCUCUGCACCCUUAGUUUAGUUAAUUAGUUUUAAUAAACAAAUCCUUUAAUUUUUAGGUUAGAUAAUAAAAAGAAAGUGAUUACUAGUACUCUUGGUUCCUUUGGGUUCGACAAUUCGGUCUUGCUAAAGCUAUAUUACUGUUCGAUAGGUACACUUGUCUUUAUCGUGAUAAUAGUUGGUUUCAAUAACGAUCAUUUCUAAAUUAUUUAAAACUUAUCGCAAGUAUCAUGAAUCAAGUUUUUGGCGCCGUUUCCGGGGAACUAAGAUAUUAGGAACACUUGAUUUUUAUUACUUUAGCCAUUUUUCUUUAUUUUUACUUUAAAUUUUUAUUUUCUUUUCUAAUUUUUCUUUUAUUUGUUCCUGACAGGUUUUUAUAGUUUAUGAUUAGAAGAAACCCGUCGGGACCAUUACUGUUUGAUAGUGAGAUCGAUCGCACAGUUCACAGAAACCAAAGAAAAAUAAGACGAAGCUUAAGAUACAAAAAGGAAGAGUAAGACGACGAUACUUCAACCACAAUCGAGAAGAUGGCUGAAAACCAGGAAAAUUUGCUACCUCCUGUGAUUUCUGCUGAUCCAGUAAAUCAGAAUCCUACUCCACGCACUAAGUAUGAUUAUGCUAAACCUACUUUAACAGGAACUGAGUCAAGUAUAGUUAGGCCUGCUAUUGCUGCGAAUAAUUUUGAACUGAAACCUAACACAAUUGAAAUGAUACAGCAAUUUGUUCAGUUUGAUGGUUUGCAGGAUGAGGAUCCAAACAACCACUUGGAAAAUUUUCUAGAGUUUUGCGAUACAUUUAAAAUCAAUGGCGUUUCUACUGAUGCCAUUCGCCUUCAGUUAUUCCCUUUUUCAUUGAGGAACAAAGCUAAACAGUGGUUGAACUCGUUACCACAAGGGUCAAUCACUGCUUGGGAACAAAUGACCGAAAAAUUUUUAUUAAAAUAUUUUUCGUCGACUAAAACAGCCAAAUUACGUAAUGAUAUCUCUUCAUUUAUGCAAAUGAAUAUAGAAACACUCUAUGAUGCAUGGGAGAGAUACAAGGACCUUUUAAGAAGAUGUCCUCACCAUGGGUUACCACUCUGGCUACAGGUUCAAACGUUUCACAAUGGCCUGAAUCCUUCGACUAGACAGAUGAUUGACGCAGCUGUUGGAGGAACUAUCAAUAAUAAGACACCUGAGGAUGCUUAUGAAUUUAUAGAAGAGAUGUCACUAAAUAAUUAUCAAUAGCAAGUCAUGAGGACAAAACCGAUGAAAGCAACCGGGGUUUUUAAUGUUGAUUCGGUCACCAUACUUUCUAAUCAGGUAGAACUUUUGAAUAGAAAAAUUAACAGUUUUUUUGGUUCUUCACAGGUUCACCCAGUAAUGCAAUGCAAUGCAAGUGGGGGAGAAUUGAGCAAUUCAGAAUGCCCACCCUAUGGCCACAACAUGAAAAACAAGCAAUUAAAUUAUAUGGAUAAUAAUCCUCGACCUCAAAAUAAUCCUUAUAGUAACACUUACAAUACAGGAUGGAGGAACCACCCAAAUUUCUCAUGGGGAGGCCAAGGGAAUCAGAGACCACCACCAUUUCCAGGUUUCUAACAGCAACCUUACCAGCAAAAUAAAAAUUUGAACCUUGAGGAAAUGCUAACAAAAUUCAUCUUGGUGUCAGAAACUCGUUUCCAGAAUACCGAGACAGCACUUAAAAAUCAACAAGCGUCGAUCCAAGGGCUCGAAACUCAGAUAGGCCAGCUCGCUAAAUUGAUAUCUGAAUGAACACAAGGUAGCCUACUGAGUAACACUGAAUCUAACCCAAGGGAGCAACUCAAUGCGAUUGCCAUUCAAGAUGAGGAAGGGUUAGUUACAUCUAAACCAGAACCGAGGCAAGAAACUGUGGUAAGUAAAGGUAAAGGUAAGGUAAACCACAUCGAGCAGAAACCGGUAAGUAAAGAGUACAAACCACGAGUGUCAUACCCAAAUGCGACAAAGAAAGACCAUACAGAUGAACAAUUUUGUAAACUCCUUAAACUAUUAAAGAAAUUACACAUUAACUUACCGUUUAUUGAAGCCCUUUCGUAGAUGCCGAACGCAGUCAAGUUUUUAAAGGAGCUUUUAGGAAACAAGUGAAAGUUGGAUGAAGCGUCGCAUGUGGAGUUGAACGUAGCUUGCUCAGCUAUUCUACAAAAUAAGCUACCCAACAAAUUAAAAGAUCCAGAGAGUUUUACAAUUCCUUGCUUAAUUGGUAGCUUAGAUGUUAAUAAUACUUUGGCUGAUUUAGGGGCUAGCAUCAAUGUCAUGCCUUACAAAAUGUUUAAGUAACUAGGUCUUGAGAAACCCAAACAAACUAAGAUGAGUAUUCAAUUAACCGAUGAAACAAUUAGAUUUCCUAGGGUUAUUAUUGAAGAUGUACUCAUUAAAAUUGACAAAUUUAUAUUCCCAGUUGAUUUCGUUGUUCUAGACAUAGAGGAGGAUAGUAACGUUCCUUUAAUUUUAGGGAGCCCUUUUUAGCAACUGUUAGAACAAUAAUUGAUGUUGGCACAGGUGAACUCACACUUCGUGUGGGAGACGAAACAAUCACCCUUUAAGCUCGUAAUUCAAGUAACACAUCAAAAAUUGAAGGUGGUUGUAUAAAUCAUACUAUUAAAACUGAUCAUUUGGUGAAACCUUCCUGGCAGGAAACACGUUCAAAGAACACACCUGAGCCAUGUUCGAGUAACGACAAAAGACCUAUCUAUGAAGAAUGAAGGCUACAACUUGAGGAACUAGAUGAAUAGCUGACACAUAAACCGAGGACACACGAUAAACCAAAACCAUGCCAUGACGAGCUCAAUAUUUCACCAAAUCAACUUAAGGUUGGAGACAAAGUACUACUAGAUGCGGUAGACCCUCGUAUUGCUACGUCUGAACCUAACGGAGCAAUCCCUCUUACAGUACUCAACAUUUUCCCAUAUGGUACAGUCGAGGUUAUUCAUCCCAAACUCGGCACUUUUAAGGUAAACAGUACUCGUCUUAAACCUUAUUUUGAUAAAAUUGAUAGCAGGGAUGAGGAGUGUGAACUCCUCACAUCACAAUGACCAUGCAACAGAAAGGUAAGUCGAGCUUAGACUAUAAAUAAGCGUUUUUCGGGAGGCAACCCGAGCAUUAAUGAUGUUAACUUUUUUAAAAUUUUAGUUUUUUACAUCUAAUCACUAACUGAGUCAGUGAAACACAGGUUUUCUAAUCUACACGGCCAAGCACACGGACAUGCCUUAGGCCGUGCUCACACCAUGGGAGGAGACACAGCCGUGCGAUACUGCCGUGUGAAAACAGGGUAAAAUUUUUCCUUAACACGGGAUGUGAUAAGUUGCCACGGCCGUGCGAUGUAGCCGUGGGCGAGUCUUUCAAACCAACACAGGCGUGUGACACACCCGUGUCUAUAAACCAUGGUUGAAACUGAGAAUUUAGCACGAGCAUGUCCUAUCAACCGUGCUCAAGACUGAAAAAAGAACACGGGCGUGGACAUCUAUACACGGGCAUUGGAGAAGAGAAUGAAACAGAACAUGGUCGUGUGACACAGACGUGUGCACCAACACGCCCAAAGAGCACGGGCGUGUGAAGAAUUUCAGACACGCCCAAAUUUGAAAAUUACGAUAAACACGAGCUGAAAUAAGGGCACAUGGGGGUGCCCCACGACCGUGUGCCCCAAAAUCUAUAUAAACCCCUUACUAUUCAUCACCCCCUUCCCCAAAAUCUCUAACCCUAGCCGCUGCAACUUCACAUGCCCUACCUGCCACGCCCGUGCACCGUCCACAGCACCACCUUUGACAACCCAAAGCUCCUCCCUCUUACGUUUGUACAUUUUUUUCCUUCUAUUCUCUUCAUUCUUUUACUUAUUUGAUGAUAUUUUAUUUUAUUUUGAGUAAAUAAUCAUAGUUAUAAUGAUAGAAUACUUAUGCUCUUUGUUAAGAAAUUUACCAUUUUAAUUGAUAUAUUUUGCUGCAUUUAUCCACUUUUCUUGUUUCCAUAGAUUUCAUGCUUACCCACACCAUAUUUCAUACUUAUUAAACCCACAUGCAUUCAUUCAAUAGAUAUUUCCAUUAGCAUUACUCUCGUAGUCCUAUUCAUAGUAAUGACUUAAUAUAUCUGAUUGGGUUAUUUUUAGUAUAGUUGUUCUUUAGUACAUGACUUCUAUGAAGUAUCUCUAUUAGUUUUACCAUGCAUAUUUUCUAUGCUAUUGCUGGGGAGUAAUUUUAUUUUUUAUUUUUUCUUGCCAUUGUAGGUAUACUAUCUCAACCUUACGUGGUAAGGAGACCGCCAUCCCCUCUUCGAAGAAAAGGAAAGGAGCAACGUCAUCCUCAGGUCCUACCGCUGAGAUCCGUUACCCUUUCCUCCAGUUUCCCUUUGGACCCCAGGAGGAACUAUUUCAGAUAUUACGGGUCCGACCCUUAGGUGUAGGCCACUGCAUUGACUGGGCUGCACUUAAAAAAAUUCAAAUGGCUGACGUGGUCCAAGCCCUCCUGACGACUACCCGUGGAGGCUUUUCUUUGAGAUCAUCGAGCCGAUGUACCACGAGCUCACAAUGGAACUCUACUCGACCUUCCAUCUUCAAGUCGCCAUGAUAAACUGCGACGAUCCUAGAACGGUCCAAUUCCACCUCAGUGGUCUAGUGCGCCAGUUGAGCGUACCGAAGUUCAGAAUUGCACUAGGGCUGUAUAUGGAAGAGUUCAUGGAUGACAACGAACUUGACACCCUCUAUUGCCACAUCCACUACUCUCUCUCCAAAUGCUGGAAGGACUUUGUCCCUGCCUCGGCCACCUAUGAUCCUAACUACUCUAAGGCAUCAGCCCUCACCCCAUCCCUGUGAUACCUACACGCCAUCUUAGCCCACACUCUGACAGGGCGGCGAGAGAGCACCGGCAUCAUCAACACUCACGACGCCUACUUUUUAUAGAGCAUGGCAAACGGGCACGUCUUCGACCUUGCCUAUUUCAUUGCUCUCGCCAUCCGCCAUCAGACGGAGCGGCAUAGGAGAGGAGUUAUCACCAUUAGCCACUAUGUGACUCGACUGGCACGGCACUUCGGGCUCCUCAACACAGCAGCAUAAUCAUCCUCACUCACUCUCAUUGGUCAUAUGUCCCCUCAAGGCAUCUCGAGUAUGCUACAUAUGAGGAUGCUCGAGAAACGACGUGGAACUUACCCUCCUCAGUACCGCCUCGUCCAGUCCACUAAAGAGGAGAACCCAUAAGACAUUACUGAUGAUGUCCCUCCACGUCAUGAGGACCCACCGUCUCAACCAUCACCCAUCCAUCGUCCAGUUCAUGCGGUGGCUUCAUACUCUGAUAUCUCUAAGCACCUUACUCGAUUUAAGCAGCAGUGUUUUCAGUGCUUUGAUCACAUUGAUGCUACUCUUCAUCAGAUUUGUCAGCACCUUCACAUCUCAUCGCCACCACCACCUCGCGAACCAUCCGGCGAUGCUGAUGUUUAAAGACUUUUUAUUUUUUAUUUUUAUUUCCACUUUUAUCUUUAUUUAUCUUCUUUAAGUAGUUUUUAUUUUAUUUUCCUUUAAUAUUAUUUCAAUUUUAGGUUUUAUAAUUUUUAUUGAAUAAUUUAUAGUUUUGGCUAUUUUAUUACGAGUAAUUAUGCUUCCUUAUAUUUCCUAAAGAGUUCUUGAUUUUAUCACAGUUAUAAAGAGCUCUAAAGCUCAUCAUCACUUAGGAACUAAAAAAUCACUGGAAAAGGUUCUCCACAACUGUCAAGUCCUGCUCGACCACGACCACAGCUACUACCAGAUAUAAUAUUCUGUUGGCGCAGGACUUAUGGACUAAUGAACCUCUACCACCACCGGAGUAUCCUCCUCCACUCUCAUCAUUGCCUUGGCUGAUUAUUCUCCAUAACUCCAAUUGAAGGAGUUCAUUCAUCAUUCAGGAAGUUUAACUUCUCUUCUUAUCUUAUGAGUAUUUAUCUAUAUUUUUCAGUAUAUCUAUCUUUGUACAUUGAGGGCAAUAUACAUCUUAAGUGUAGAGGGUCUUUUAUAUCAUUAUCAGAAAAAUCCCUGAAUUUUAUCUUGUUCUCAAAUCAUCUUCUCAUAUCAUUAUUAGAAUAAAAUUUGAUUAAUUUAUGAUUGUUAUUGAUAUGUCUUCAAUUAAAACAUAGGCAUUCAUGUAUUGAUUGUUUAAACUUUAAGGAAUUAGAUAAUCAAGCAGGAUAAGUUGAUUUUUGAGAAUUAAAAAUUUUUAGGUUGUUUCCCCAAGUUUAGGUAUUAUCUCGAGUUAAAAUUCACAGGGUUAACAUCAACAAGCCAUAAUUUCUGUAAGAUCUUGAGCCUUUAGAGCAACUAUUAUUUCUUUCAUGCUCACUGUUAUUAUUGAUAAUGAGUGUGUCAAUAUUGAUUUAUUAUUCUAGAACUUGCUUGAUUAUGCAUGUCAAGACCACACCCUUGAGUUAAUAUGUCAAUAUGAUAAAGGCACCUAGGUUUAACCCACUCACUCCAUAAAAGCAUACCUUCAUAAUUUACCCUUAGUGAACCCCUUUGAGCCUAACAAGCCAUUAAUUGAUUUACCCUCAAUGUUAACCCAUAACACAUUAUUGUUGAAAUCCCCUAAUUUGAUCCCUAUUUUUGUCGAGAUUUGAUUUGAAUUAUUGCAUAGCUAUGUUUUAUUCUUCGUUGCAAUAAUUAGCAAAGUCCUAUGUUAUUUCACUUGUUUAUUUCACUUGUUCCUAAAAAAAAAUACAAUACUUACUUACAUAUUAAUAGUAAUUCGUCAUUUUUGAGCUUAAGUGUUAAUUCCAUAUUCUAAGAAGAAGCUCACUCGUAUUCAACUUAUAAUUAGUUGUUUUUCUAGUUAGGUGAUUUUUUUAAUUCAAUCUCGAUUCUAACCUUUCCUUUUAGCUUGUGACCACACCCCCUAACCAAAGCCACGUUACAACCCUCUAAAGACCUUUUGAUUGAUGUAUCAUCUCAAUAUAUAGUGGUGGAGAUUUGAUUUUCUGCAAGCCUAUGGUAAUAACUUUUCAUAUUGACUAAUGAGUGCUUCAUUUAUUAUCCUUAAACACCUCGAGUGAUUUGAGUGAAUCUUUAGUGAGGAUGUUAAACUCCGUGAUAUUUUGAAUCAAAGGUAAUCACUUAGAUGAGGGGAGACACCUAUGUUUUCGUGAUGAAAUGCUCAACUUGGAAUGUUUGAAACUUUGAUAUUCUUCUAGUUGAAUUCUCCAUGUAUGAUUACUUAUGAUUUAUUUUAAGAUAUUAUUGAUAGAGAUUAUAGAUUGAGAAGAAUUUAUUUUGAUUGUGAGUUGAGGAUUUUGCUUGAGGACAAGCAAACGCUUAAGUGUGAGAGUUUUUGAUAAACCGCAAUUUAUACAUAUUUUUAUCCCAUGCUUAGCACAUUUAUAUAUGAUUUCUCCUUAGAUUUGGUGAAUUUGAUGCACCAAAUCCUUUAAUUUCAUGUUUUAUACUUAGGUGACCAUAGCAGAGUAAAAAGAGCGAGAAACAGGUCGACAACGGAGAAAAAUAGACCCACAUGGGAAAUCGACACGGCCUGGACUUCCUCACACGGGUAAGCCACACGGCCAUGUCCAUUUGGCAGGAUCGGCGUACAAUUUACACAGGUAGACUACAUGCCCACGAUUAUUUAGCAACCUUCACCACGGUUUGGAGCAAUCGCACACGGGCGUGUCACACAGGCGUGUCCCUGUCGAGCCCAAGUAAAGUCCUAUUCGAAAAAGGCCACUUUUGAUGGCUCUUAGGCAUUCUAAAGCCUAUUUAAACACCUGAGGAGGCAGUUAGAACGGGGGGACACAGAGUAGGAAGCAAUGAAUUACUCGAAAAAAGCCGAUUGAUCCAUCUCAGAAGCUGGAUUAUUCAUCAAGACUGAAGAUCUCUCUUCAAUUUCCAUUCAAGAGUUUUGGGUUUUCUUUAUGUUUUGUAUUCAUUAUUCUUCUAAGGGGAAUGAAACUUAAGACGAAUCUUGUUAUUAUUAUCUAAAUUAUAAGAUAAAUAUUUGACUUGUUCUUAAUUAUGUAUUCUUAAUUCUUGUCUUAAUAUUUCAGGAUAUUGAUUCAGGUUAAUGCGCUUAUUCAGAGGAGCAAAAGUCCCUGUCUAAGAGUAAAUUUGUCAUAAUUAAGUGGAGUUGAUUGCACGCCUAGAGAUAGGGUGACAAGAUUUUACCAGAUUAUGGUGAAACCUAAUAAGGGAUCCAUAGAUCGAGUAAAUGCAACACUAGGGCGUUAAUUACAAAGAGAUUUCAAUUAAUCAACCUAGGGUUAGAUGUUAUUAGUCUCGAGAGAGAUAAUAAUAUAACUUAGGGAUUUCUACGAAUCAAGUUAAAUGAACAAAUCGCCUGAUUCAGAGUCAAAUAACAAGUGAAUCUAGGUGGAUUUUUCCUUGGGUAUUGUCUUUAUUAAUCGAAUUUUCUAAAAAGUAUUUUCCCAAUUUUUAGGCUAGAUAAUAAAAAGAAAGUAAUUACUAGUACUCUUGGUUCCUUUGGGUUCGACAAUUCGGUCUUGUUAAAGCUAUACUACUGUUCGAUAGGUACACUUGCCUUCAUCGUGAUAAUAGUUGGUUUUAAGAACGAUCAUUUAUAAAUUAUUUAAAACUUAUCGCAAAUAUCAUAAAUCAGUAGUCGUUUUACAUGGAUUUAUCUCAUUAAAUGAAUGUCUCAGAUGGUUGACUAUUUUUUUCAGUUUCAAAAAAUGGUCAAAACUCAGUUUGGGAAAGAUAUUAAAAAUUUUCAAAGUGAUUGGGGUGGUGAGUUUCGUGCCUUCGCAUCAACUCUUGCUAUUCAUGGGAUACUUCAUCACCUCUCCCGUCCACAUACAUCCGAGCAGAACGGUAUAGCCAAACCAAAACAUCAAGACAUUGUUGAGAUAGGUCUUACUCUCUUGACCCAAGCUAAUAUGCCCAUGGAUUUCUGGGGUUACGUGUUUUGCAGUGUCGUUUAUCUCAUUAAUCGUCCACCUACCUUGGUUUUGAAAGGUCAAUCUCCGUAUUAAGUUCUUCAUGGUAGUGACCCUACAUAUGAUCAUUUACGGGUGUUUGGGUGUUAUUUCUUUCCAUACUUGCGUCUGUUUCUGCAACAGAACUUGGAUUUUUGUUCUCAGCCUUGCACAUUUUUAGGGUAUAGUUCUCAACAUAAAGGCUAUCACUGCCUCACACCAGAUGGUAAGGCCAUUGUCUCUUAUCAUGUUGUGUUUGAUGAACGUCGAUUUCUCUUUUUUUUUAUGUUGCAAACACCGUCCAGUCAGGUCCAUGUAUCUCUACAUAUGUUCCUAUUGCUCAGUCUUCAUCUGCCGCGCCACGGCAUCCUCGCUUGUUCAGCCCAUUAAGUCCUCUUGACUCUUACUCCUAAUUGUAGUUCCAAGACGUCUAUUUCAGUUGACUCUCCGACUGAAUUGGGUUCUACUCAUGAGGUGCACCGGCUCUUCACCUCAUCUCCUGAAUCACGUCAAUGCGACUCUACUACAAUUCCCUCGGUUAUUCCAUCUAUUUUUCUAGAGAAUACUCAUAACAUGAUUACUCGGUCUAAGGCUAGUAUUUCUAAACCCAAAGCUUUCUCUGUUGAAACUGUCGACUAUGAGCCACACACGAUUGAUGAGGCACUCGCUAGUAAGGAAUGGCAAUUAGUUGUCCAAGCUGAGUUUGUUGCUCUAAUGGCUAACUCUACCUGGGAGCUUGUUCCCUUACUUCAUUGUCGAAAAGUGAUUGGGUGUAAGUGGCUUUUUAAAAUAAAAAAAAUCCUGAUGGGGCUAUCACUUGGCACAAGGCUCAGCUGGUAGCAAUGGGUUGUUCUUAGGUACCUGGGUGUGAUUUCAAAGAAACCUUUAGUCUAAUGGUUACACCUACUACUAUUAGAAAAAUAUUGUCUAUUUCUGUUUCCAAUGGGUGAAAACUUCGUCAAAUCGAUGUGAAUAAUACCUUUUAAGAUGGUGAUCUCACUGACGAAGUGUUUAUGCAACAACCUUCAGGCUAUGUUCAGAUUGGUCCAUAUCGUGAGCUAUUGGUGUGUCGUCUGAAAAAGGAGUUGUAUGGAUUACGACAAGCUCCACGUGCCUGGUUUGAUAAAUUGAAACAUUUUUUCUACCAGAUUUGUGUUAUCCAAAUCUGAUGCAUCCCUGUUUGUUCGAGUUACGUACGUAUCCACUAUUUAUGUUCUAAUCUAUGUGGAUGAUAUUACCGUUACUGAAAGUACGACUGACGGUAUAAAUGACUUUAUUCAACAGUUACAUAAUAAGUUUUCCCUUAAAGAUAUGGGAGAUCUUCACUACUUCUUAGGUAUUCAAGUCACUCGGUCAUCCACUAGAAGUCUUCAUUUGUGCCAACGCAAAUACAUCUAGGAUCUGCUUGACAGGAGUUCCUGGGCUAACGUGAAAAGUGUUCACACACUGAUGGUUAGUUCUUUUACAUUGUCUAAAGAUGAGAAAAAUCACCUCGUUGAUCCCACUAAAUAUAGGAGCCUUGCCGGAGCAUUACAAUAUGUGGUCUUAACUCGGCCUAAUAUUGCUUAUGCGGUAAAUCGUGUUUGUCAAUUCAUGCAUAUGCCUACUACGGUACAUUUGGUGGCUUUGAAAAUAAUCUUGCGCUAUUUACGUGGCACUAUUGAUCAUGGGUUAAUUUUUCGUCCGUUCGACAGAUUGUCUUUAGUUGGCUAUGCUGAUUCCAACUGGGGACUGGAUUUUGAUGAUCGUCAGUCAACCAUAGACUAUUGUGUGUAUUUUGGACAUACAUCCAUCUUUUUGUGUUCUAUGAACCAACAAGUUAUUUUUCACUCCACGGCUGAUGCGAAGUAUCGUAGUCUAGCAGUAGCUACCAGUGAUGUUACUUGGUUAGCCUCUCUGUUAACGAAUUUAAAAAUUUGUUCUGCAAAUCCACUUACUAUUUGGUGUGACAAAUCUAGUGCAAUAGUGGUUGCUGCUAAUCCGGUUUUACACUCCAAAUUUAAACAUGGCGAGCUUGAUCUAUUUUUUGUUCGCGAAAAUGUCACUAAUGGUUCUCUCAUUGUUGGCGAAGUUCCGGCAUGUGAUCAGGUUGCUAGUAUUCUCACAAAACCAUUGUCCAUCUCUACUUUUGCUAGGUUUCAUAGUCUGCCUCAAGUCUUACCUCUUGAGAAGCUGGAUGAAGCCGGGUGAAUAUUAGAGUAUAGACUCUAUUAGUCUGUUACCAUUUUGUUAUACAGGCUAGAAUAUUGUUAGUAACCAGUUAGCAGCAAUUAGUCAUAGCAGUUAGUCAUACAAGUAUAAAUUCUAUUUAUGUAUAGUUCAAAGGUAAGCUAAUAAUACCAGAAGAGAUUUAACGUGUUCAUUCUACUUUCUUUGUUAUUCUUCAUAAUACAGUUGUUAACAGGCUUGAUAUCAUCUCUUAGAGAAAACUAGGAGAGAUAAGAGUAAGAGUAUGAGCAAACUAUGGAUAAGGCUCUACCAUAAUACCUUAGAUGCAGUUAAAGUAAGAGUAAGAGCCAACUUGUUUGGCUUGAUAGCAUCCCCUUAUAGAAAAAGCUCUACCGCAUGGCAUUAGAGCAAUAAAAGUAACACUUAAUUUCUUGGUUGAUAGCAUCUCGUAGGGGAAAAAGGUUUACCAUGUGACAUGAAAGUAAUUAAAGUAAGAUUAAGAGCUAACUUGUUUGUCUUAAUCGCAUUGUUUAAGAGAGAUCCAAAUAAAUUUACUCAAAAUAUGUUAAUCAAAUAAUGCAAAUUACAAUGUUUUGUCAAUUUUUCCUUUAAUUGUAACUGGGUUAAAGUUGGUAGUUGUAACUGGUACUAAUAGAAUAGAUUUGGUAGAAAUGGUUGAAAGCAACAUAAGCAAAGAUGACUUUGAUGUCAUUGUAUUGACCACGUGGGAACUAUAGAAUGUAGAGAAUAGUAUGGUGAUUGGCAUCAGAAUGUUGCUAACUUUGAGGACAGUAGAUAAGGAUGGAUCCAAAGGGGCUGUGGGCGGCCCCCUUGAAAUUUUCAAAUUUUUGAAUUUAUAUAUAAAUUAUCAUGUAUUUUAGAUUUGGUGUCCACAUUGUAUAACAUUCACCCCCUUUGCCAAAUUGUAUUUCAUAUCAUUCGCCCCCUUAAACCAUAAGGUUAUACUUUAUAUUAACAAAGUAUUUUCCAUUUUUUUUAAUUAUAUAAAUUUAAUAAUAACAAUAAUAAUAAAAUAUUAAUGUAUGAUAGGCAUUGAAAGACUAAACUUAUAGGUCCAAUUUGGACUUUAAAGCCAAAUUCUAUAAUUAAUUAAUUGAUUUGGCUCAUACCUAUACAUAUUAGGUUAGCGACUUUCUUGUAUUUUGAUUUGUAUGUCUUCUUAAGGAAUUAUCUUCCUUUGGUAAAGUGUUGACACUACCAAGAGAAAAAGAAAGGAUUUUGAUGACGAGACUAAGAGUAUAGAGCAAAAAUAUACAAAUUAUCUUCCUCUUGGCUCCUUAUGCAAAAAACCUCUCGGUAAAUUUUUUGCAUAAAUUAUGUUCUUUAUUUAUUUGACUUAUUUUUUUUAUUUUUUCCUAAUAUAUUUUGUUUAAUAUAUUAUUAAAAUCAUCAGGUUUUUCGAUUAAAUAAUGGUCAAUAAAAAGAUCGAAUCUAUUUUUUUAAAAAAAAGGUGUCAGAAAGCAAUAGUGAUCAACCAGUUCCUUAACCUUCUGUUAUUCGUGAAGAAAAACCAAAUAUUGGAUAUUCCCAAGCUCCUGAAUGAAAUAUUAGGUCUUAUCAAGCCCAAACUUUUGAAUGCGAUAUGGAGUCUUCCCCAGUUCUUAAACUAGAUUGUUACACUCCUUACCUGAUCCGAUCACCAAAUCCAUGUAGAGAGUACCACAACUUAAACCAUAUGAAUUGAAUAAUAAAUAUUUGAAAUUUAUUAAAGUAUCGAGUUCUUGGUGUAACCCUCAGUAUAAUAAUAUGAAACAAUCAAAUCAAUGAUACGCCAGGAACAAACAUUUUUAGGAAAAACACAUGGCGGAAACCUUACAAAAGUUUAUAAGUUUAUAUGAAAUGUAAGAUGAGUUAAUCCCAUACAAUAGUUUCAAGUGCAUUUUUGGCAGUUAAAACAACACUCUAAAACUAUUUGGUGUAGAUGCCAAUGAGACAAUCAUGUGGAAUAAGAUAUAGUAGCAUAAACACAUACAUCACUUACCAUGUCAUUAUAACAUAUACUAACCACAUAAACAAAUUUCUCGAGCUGCGAACGAACAAGUUUACCCAAACAUCUGGGGUUGGUAGAUAGCUUAUCAGAAAAGCCCUCCAAAUCCUAGAGUUCACCAAAACCUGGAGUUCGCCAAAUAGAGAUUCCCAUAGAAUACGCCAAACACACAACCAAAAAACAAAUACUCUACUAACUUACUUAUUUUUUAUUCUUAGCAUAAACAACUAUGCGCCAAAAAGUAACUUGAUACAUUAUCCAUCAGGCGGGUUGUUACAAUUCUCCCUCACUUAGAAAAUUUUGUCCUCAAAAUUCUUAACGGUGAAUAACUGAGGAUAUUGUUCUUUUAUUGAACUCUCUCUUUCCCAAGUGGAUUCUUUUUUAUUGUGAUUUCUCCAUAAUACAUUAACAAAAGGAAUUCUUUUUCUUCUCAACUUUUUUACCUCCCUUGCUAAUGCGAACAGGUUCUUCUUCAUAGGAUAUGUUUGGCUCCUUUUCUAAUGCUUUGACUUGUACCACAUGAUCUGGUUUGGAUUGAUAUUUUCUUAACACGAACACAUUAAUCACAUUGUGUAUCUUUGAUAACUCUAGUGGCAACACCAAUCUGUAUGCCACUGGACCAACCAGUUCCAAAAUCUCAUAUGGUCCUACGAAAUGCAGACUUAAUUUCCCUUUUUAUUCUAACCUUAUGAUAUUCUUCCAAAGAGAAAACUUCAUAAAUACAUUGUCACCCACUUCGAAAGAGAUUUCUUUCCUUUUUAGAUCAACAUAAGCUUUCUGACGAUCUUAAGUUACUUUCAGAUGAUUUCAAAUAAUAGAGACUUUCUCUUCUGUUUCUUGUACUAAAUCAAAACCAACUAUUUUCCUUUCACUGAGUUCCAUCCAACAGGUGGGAGAUCUACGCUUUCUUCCAUACAAAGCUUCAAAUGGUGAUAUUUCUAGAUUGGCGUGAUGACUAUAAUUAUACACAAACUUUGGCAAAGAAAGAUAUCUUUCUCAAUUCAUUCUGAAAUCUAUAAUACAACUUCUGAGCAUGUCUUCCAAAACUUGAAUUACUCUUUCAAAUUGUUCACCUGAUUAGGGAUGAAAGGCAGUACUGAAUCAUAUCUUGGUUCCUAACGAUUCUUGUUGUUGUCUUCAAAAUCUUGAUGUAAACAUUAGGUCUCGAUCUAAAACUACGGAUGUUGGAAUCCCAUGAAGACAUACAACUUCAGAAACGCAGAGCUUAGCCAACUUUUCCAAUGAGUAAUUUGUGCGGGCAAACAAGAAAUAGACUGACUUAGUAAGUCGAUCUACAAUUGCGCAAACUGAAUUCUUCUUUGAAAGGCUGAAAGGGAGAGCCAAAACAAAAUCCAUGGUGAUGUUAUCCCACUUCCACUUAGGUAUCUCUAAAGGGUACAACUUGCCUAAGGGAACCUGAUGUUCUGUUUUAAUCCGCUGACAUGUCAAAGAAAUGGAGAUGUACUCUGUUAUUUCUUUCUUCAUUCCAGGUCACCAAUACAAACUUCUCAAAUUACGAUACAUUUUAUGUAAUGCUCUCAACCCGACUCGAUAUGUCGAGUUUGGAUCUCGGGUAUUACUAUACACAGUACUUAGUAAAAUAUCAAAAUAGCUGACAAAUACUCUUUACUAAAAACAUUUUCUUAUUAUUUUAACCGAAAGAGUAAAUAUUUAAUAACAAGGGUAAAUAUUAGAAAUAAAAUAAAUUAUUACAUCAGACUUGGUACAACUGAUUAUAGUAUAAAAUUUUGUUAAAGACAGACUCUUGGGGAAUAACCCUAAUCUAUGCCACUUUUCCACUAUAUACAUAAUAACCCACUUCAGCACUAUCUUGGCAUACUCCUAGCAUCGUCACUCCUAACGCAUUCUCUACCCAUACACCUAAAAACAACAACAUUAUAAGCUCAAGAGAACUUAGUGAAUUUUAUCCCAAAAAUACCUUGGCGAGUACUUUAAUUAUUUGACUAACAUCUGUGCGCCAUCUAUCUUUUUAAACCACCUUCUUCUGAAUCAGACGGAUACUAUUACAGAUUCGACUUUCACUUAUACGCCAGCUAUCAUACUCUUAACACACUCACUUAUUCUAGAACAGUUUUUCACAUAUAUUAAUCAUUGACAGAUACAUACAUUUUUGGUGAAUACUUACGCAGAUCUAAAUACCAUCAAACUACUAAUCAAAUCAUACAUUGAUUCGAUACCAUACAAACUCCCAUUGAUAAUGUACUACACAAUUUAUUCAAAUGAAUUUUCCACUACUUUGUUACAGGACCCCAGAAAAUCAUCAUAACAAUAACUCAAUUUCCAUAUGAUUUCAAAAAAGGAUAUAAUACAACCCAAAUAUGGCGAAUUCCAGACAACUCAGAUUCAACAACUGUAUAACAUAGACAAAAUCACAUUGAUAAUUUCUUAUGUCCCAAAUAACUAUGAAUACGUCCAUAUUCAAUACUAACAGAUAAUCAUGACGGAUACCCUUCUUAUACAUAUAUGCAUUUCUUUUCUAAAAAUCUCUUAAGACUUACUCAGUUAUAUCACAGAUCUUAUUCAACCUUUAACUUCAGACGUAUCAUAAACCUAUCAGAUCAAUAUCUGUCACAAAGAAAUUGGCAUUUACCCAGAUUUUACAAUAAAGGCAGAUAAUCAUAUUAUAGUAGACAAACUUAACUGAAAGUGCUACAAAGGCCAAACAAAAUAUGCCAUAAAGGCUUCAUACAAAAUCAUGUGUUUACUAUCUCGACGGAUGAUACAUGAUAUUCGUGACAGGUUUUAAAAAUUUAUAAUUAAUCGUUCUUUAAAUUAACUAUUAUCACGAUGAAGGCAAGUGUACCUCUCGAACAGUAAUAUAGCUUUAGCAAGACCGGAUGGUCGAACCCAAAGGAACCAAGAGUACUAGUAAUUGCUUUCUUUUUAUUAUCUAGCCUAAAAAUUAAGGGAUUUAUUUAUCUAAUUAAUUAACUAAACUAAGGGUGCACAGAAAGAAAAUUGGGGAAAAGCUUUUGGGAAAACUCGAUUGAUUAAGACAAUACCCAAGAAAAAAUCCACCUAGACUUCACUUAUUAUUUGACUCUAAAUCAGACGAUUUAUUCAUUUGACUUGAUCCGUAGAAAUCCCUAAGUUAUAUUAUUAUCUCUCUUGAGACUAAUAACGUCUAACCCUAGGCUGAUAAUUGAAAUCUCUUUCUAAUUAACACUCUAGUGUUGCAUUAACUCGAUCUAUGGACUCCCUUAUUAGGUUUCACCCUAAUCCAGUAAAAUCUUGUCACCCUAUCUCUAGGCGUGCAAUCAACUCCGCUUAAUUAUGAAAAAUUUACUCUUAGAUAAGGACUUUUGCUCCUCUAAAUAAGCACAUUAACUUGAAUCAAUAUCUUGGAAUACUAAAACAAGAAUUAAGAACACAUAAUUAAGAACAAGUCAAAUAUUUAUCAUACAAUUCAGAAAAUAAUAACAAGAUCCGUCUUAGGUUUCAUUCCCCUUAGGUAUUUUGAGGUUUUAGUUCAUAAUUAUGAAAGAAAACAUCUCAAAAGAAUAAUGAUAACAAAACAUAAAGAAAACCCAAAACUCCUGAAGGAAAUUGAAGGGAGAUCCUCAGUCUUGACGAUGAAUCCGGCUUUUGAAAUGGAUCAAUCGGCUUUCCUUGAGUAAUUCAUUGCCUCCUACUCCCUAUGUAUCUUCUAAGUGCCUCCUCAGGUGUUUAAAUAGGCUUUAUAAUGUCUAAAAGCCCUCAAGAGUGGCCUUUUCUGAAUAGGACUGAACUUGGGCUCGAUAGGGACACGCCCGUGUGACACGCUCGUGUGCAAUUGCUUCAGACCGUAGUCAAGGCUACUAAAUAGGCAUGGGCGUGUGGUCUACCCGUGUGAGGAAGUCCAGGCCGUGUUGAUUUCUGAUGUUGGUCCAUUUUCUUCAUUUUCAGCCCGUUUCUCGCUCUUUUUACUCUCUUAUGCUCACCAAAGUAUAAAACAUGAAAUUAAAGGAUUAGGAGCAUCGAAUUCACCAAAUCUAAGGAGAAUUCAUCCAAAAAUAUGCUAAGCAUGAGGUAAAAAUAUGUAUAAAUUAUGGUUUAUUAAAUACCCCCACACUUAAGCGUUUGCUUGUCCUCUAGCAAAAUCCUCAACUCAAAAUCAAAAUAAAUUCUUCUUAACUUGUAACCCCUAUCAAUAAUAUCUCAAAAUAAACCAUAAGUAAUCAUGUAUUGAGAAUUCAACUAGAAAAGCAUUAAAGUCUCAAACAUUCCAAGUCGAGCAUUUUAUCACGAAAACAUAGGUGUUUCCCCUCAUCUAAGUGAUUACCUUUGAUUCAAAAUAUCACAAAGUUUUAACAUCCUCACUAAAGAUUCACUCAAAUCACUCGAGGUGUUUAAGGAUAAUAAAUGAAGCACUCAUUAGUCAAUAUGAAAAGUUAUUACCAAAGGCUUGUAUGAAAGUCAAAUCUCCACCACUAUAAAUUGAGAUGAUACAUCAAUCAAAAGGUCUUUAGAGGGUUGUAAAGUGGCUUUUGUUAGGGGGUGUAGUCACAAGCUGAAAGAAAGGUUAGAAUCAAGAUUGAAUUGAAAAAUUACCUAACUAGAAAAAUAACUAGUCAUUACUUGAAUACAUGUAAACUUCUUCUCAAAAUAUGAAAUUGAACACUUAAGCUCGAAAACAACGAAUUACUACUAAUAUAUGUAUGUAUUAUAAUUUUUUUUAAGAACAAGUCAAAUAAUAUAGGUUAAUUAUCAAAAAUAAAACAUAGCUAAGUAAUUUAUUCAAAUUAAAUCUCGACAAAAAUUGGGAUCAACUUGAUUGAGGGGAUUUCAACAGUAAUAGGUUAUAGGUUAAUAUUGAGGGUAAAUCAAUGGAUAGUUUGUUAGGCUCAAAGGGGUUCACUAAGGACAAAUUAUGAAGGUAGGCUUUUGUGGAGUGAGUGGGUUAAACCUAAGUGCCUUUAUCAUCUCGACAUAUUAAAUCAAAUGGUGUGGUCUUGACAUGCAUAAUCAAGCAAGUUCUAGAAUAACAAAUCAAUACUGACGCACUCAUAAUAAAAGUGAGCAUGAAAGAAAUAAAAUAUGAUCUAAAAGCUUAAAAUCUCACAAAAAAUUAUGGCUUUUUGAUGUUGAACCUGUGAAUUUCAACUCAAGAUAAUACCUAAACUUGGGGAAACAACCUAAAAAUUUUAAAUACUCAAAAAUCAACUUAUCAUGUCUGAUUUUCUAAUUCCUUCAAAGUUUAAACGGUCAAUGCAUAAAUACCUAUGUUUUAAUUCAAGACAUAUCAAUAAAAAUCAUAAAUUAAUCAAAAUUCAUUCUAAUAAUGAUAUGAGAAGAUUAUUUGAGAACAAGACAAAAUUUAAGGAUUUUUUUGAUAAUGAUAUAAAGGCCCCCCACACUUAAGAUGUACAUUGCCCUCAAUGUACAAAGUUAGAUUUACAACGAUAUAGAUAUAAGAUCAUAAGAUAGGGAGAGAAGUGAAACUUCCUGAAUAAUGAAUGAACUCCUUGAAUUGGAGUUAUGGAGAAUAAUCGGCAAAGGCAAUGAUAAGAUUGGAGGAGGAUACUUCGGUGGUGGUAGAGGUUGGGUUCCACAACCUCAGUGUCCAGCGAAGAAGUUAUCGUGGUGGUCGAGCAAGACAUUACAGUUAUGGAGAACCUUUUCCAGUGGAGUUUCAAGUUUCUAAGUGAUGGUGAGCUUUGGGGCUCUUAGUAACUGUGAUAAAAUCAAGAACUCUUUAAGAAAUGUAAGGAAGCAUAAUUACACGUAAUGAAAUAGCUGAAACUAUAAAUUAUUCAAUAAAAAUUAUAAAACCUAAAAAUGAAAUAAUAUUAAAGGAAAAUAAAAUAAAAAGUACUUAAAAAUGUAAAUAAAAAUAAAAUAUAAAAAGUUUUUAAACAUCGUCAUCGCUGGAUGGUUCGCAAGGUGGUGGUGGUGAUGAGAUGUGAAGGUGCUGACAAAUCUGAUGUAGAGUAGCAUCAAUGUUAUCAAAGCGCUGAAAACACUAUUGCUCAAAUCAAUAAGGCACUCAGAGAUGUCAGAGUAUGAAAUCGCCGCAUGAACUGGACGAUAGAUGGGUUGUGGCUGAAAUGGUGGGUCCUCAUGACGUGGAGGGACAUCAUUAGUAAUUCCUCCGGGUCCUCCUCCUCGGCUGACUGGAUGAGGCGGUACUGAGCAGAAUCGAUUCCAUGUCAUUUCUCGAUCAUCCUCAUAUGUAGCAUGCUUGAAAUACCCUGUGGGGACAUCUGGCCGAUGAGAGUGAGCGAGAAUGAUUGUGCCACUGUGUUAAAGAGUCCAAAGUGCCGAAUCAAUCGAGUCACAUAGGGGCCAAUAGAGAUGACUCCCUUCCUAUGCCGUUCCGUCUGAUGGCGAAUGGCGAAGGCAAUGAAAUAGGCGAGGUCGAAGAUGUGCCCAUUCGCCAUGCUCCAUAAAAAGUAGGCAUCGUGAGUGUUGACAAUGCCGGUGCUCUCUUGUCUUCCUGUCAGAGUGUGGGCCAAGAGGGCGUGUAGGUACCUCAAGGAUGGAGGGAGAGUUGAUGUUUUGGAACGGUUAGGGUCGUAGGUGGCCGAGGGAGGGACGAGGGCCUCCAGCACUUCGAGUGAGAGUAAUGGAUGUGGCGAUGAAGGAUGUCGAGUUCGUUGUAGUCCAUGAACUCCUCCGUAUACAGCCCUAGUACAAUUUUGAACUCCGGUACGCUCAAUUGGCACACUAAACCACCAAGACGAAACUGGACCGUUGUAGGAUCGUCGAACUCUGUCAUAACGGUUUGGAAGUGAAAGGUCGAAUAGAGUUCCAGUGUGAGCUUAAGGUAUAUCGGCUUGAUGAUCCCAAAGAAGAGCUCCCAUGGAUCAGUCGACAGAAGGGCUCUGACCGCGUCAACCAGUUGGACUUGUUCAAGUGCGGCCCAUUCAAUGCAGCGGCCCACACCUAAGGGUCAGGCCCGAAGUAUCUAAAAGAGUUCUUCCUAAGGUCCUAAGGGAAACUAAAUAAAGGGGUGCCUGAUCUCCACGGUAGGACCCAAGGAUGACACUGCUCAUUUCCUUUUCUUUGAAGCGGGGACAGCGAUUUUCUUACCAUGGUUUGACAUGAUAUCUGCAAUGGCAAGACGAAAAAAAUAAUAAAUAAAAAAGUAAACUUACUCUCCAACAAUAACAUGAAAAAACAUAUGCAAUGCAUGUUAAAACUAAUAGAGAUACUUUAUAGGAGUCAUGUACUAAAGAACAACUACGCUGAAAAAUAACCCAAUCAGAUAUAUUAAGUCAUUACUACGAAUAGGAAUAUGAUAAUAAUGCCUAGUGAAUGAAUGCAUAUGGAAAUGAUGAUAUGGAAAAUAGAAUGAAGUCCAUGGCAACACAAGAAUGGUGGUAUCAUAAUGCAUCAACUAAGAUAGCAAGAAACAAAGAGCAUAAGCAAGGCUAUUAUUAGAACUAUGAAGAUUAACAGUCAAAAUAAAACAAGAAAAAUCGAAUUCAUAAACGAAAUGAAGAGAAAAGAAUGGACAAACGCAAAAGCUUGGUAGAGGGAGGAGCUUGGGCCGUCGUUAGUGGUGUUGUGGUUGGCGCACGGGCGUGGCAGGAAGGCGUGGGCAAGAGUUACGGCGGCUACAGUUAGGGAUUUUGGGGAAGGGGAUGAUGAAUAUAAGGGGUUUAUUCAACUCGUGUUUAUCGCGAUUUUUAAAUUUGGGCACGUCUGAAAUUCGUCCCACGCCGAUGUCCUUUGGGCGUGUUGGUGCACAUGGCCGUGUCGUACGGUCGUGUCCUACUUCGUUCACUUCUCCCACGCUCGUGUGUAUAAGCACACGCCCGUGUUGUUUGAUCAGUCUUGAGCACGGUUGGUGGGCACGGGCGUGUCGCACACUUGUGCUAAAUUCUCAGUUUCAACCACGAUUUCAAGACACGGGCGUGUCACACGCCCGUGUUGAUUUGAAAGACUCACCCACGGCCACGUUACACAGCCGUGGCAACUUAUCACAUCUCGUGUUAAGCAAAAAUUUUUCCCUGUUUCCACACGGUCGUGUCGCAAGGCCGUGUCUCCUCCCGUAGUGUGAGCACGGCCUAAGGCACACCUGUGUGCCUCACCGUGUGAAUUAGAAAACCAGUAUUUCAAUGACUCAGUUAGUGAUUAGAUGUUAAAAACUAAAAUUUUAAAGAAGGUAACACUAUUAGUGCUCGGGUUACCUCGCGAAAAGCAUUUAUUUAUAGUCUAAGCUCGACUUACCUCUCUGUUGCAUAGUCAUGGUAGUGCAAGGAGUUUACACUCCUCAUCCCUGCUAUCAAUUUUAUCAAAAUAAGGUUUUAGACAAGUACUAUUUACCUUAAACGUACCGAAUUUGGGAUGAAUUACCUCGACUGUGCCGUAUGGGAAAAUACUAAGUACCGUAAGAGGGAUUUCUCCAUUAGGUUCAAAGGUGGCAAUCCGAAGGUCUGCUGCAUCUAAUAGUACUUUGUUUCCAACCUUAAGUUGAGUUGGAGAAAUAUUGAGCUCGUCAUGGCAUGGUUUUUUUUAUCGUGUGAUUUCGAUUUCUGUGUCUGCCAUUCAUCUAGUUCCUCAACCUGUAGCCUUGUUCUUCAUAGAUGGGUUCUUUGUCGUUAUUUGAAUGUGGCUCAAGUGUGUUUCUCGAAUGUGUUUCCUGCACAGAGGGUUUCACCACAUGAUCAGUACUGAUAGAAUUUCGAGCUUGAGGAGUAAUUGAUUCAUCACCCAUACGAAGUGUGAGUUUACUUGUGCCAACAUCAAUUAUAGUUUUAGCAGUUGCUAGAAAGGACCGUCUUAAAAUUAAAGGUGCGUCGCUAUCCUCUUCUAUGUCUAGAACAACAAAAUCAAUUGGGAAAAUAAAUUUAUCGAUUUUUACCAAUACAUCUUCAAUGAUACCCCUGGGAAAUCUAAUAGUUUUAUCAGCUAACUGAAUACUCAUCCUAGUUUGUUUAGGUUUCCCAAUACCUAGUUGUUUAAACAUUUUAUAAGGCAUGAAAUUGAUACUAGCCCCUAAAUCAGCCAAAGCGUUAUUAACAUCUAAGCUACCAAUUAAAUAAGGAAUCGUAAAACUCCUUGGAUCUUUCAAUUUGUUGGCCAUGAUGUCUCGUUGAGAGCACCAAAAAUAUCCUAUUCUCUGUAAAAUAGUAAAAAUAACAGUAAAAGGGAAGUAGGGUCGAAUCCUCAGGGACCGGAUUGUACAAAUGCUCGUUUCUUGAAAUCCUGGACAAUUUCUUGGCCAAGAAAACCUGCGUUCCUGAAAAAUAAAAAAAAUAAAAUUAAGAAUCUGGAAAAAAAAAUAGAAUUUAAAGGGAAUUGAAAUUGCGAAAUUAAAUAAAUUGUCGAAAUUAAAAUGAGGAAAAAUAAAUAGAGUUGGGAAAAGAGAAAGUUUCUUAUGUGGCGAGAUUCCAGGCUCCGGUUGUCUCGUUCCGCCUUGGGUUCAAUCCUUGGCCUUUAAGUAACCCUUCCCAACUCAAGUAAGCCAGUUAUAGUGGAAGAGGAUGCCUACGACCACCAGCUCCAAAGAUUAGACUUACGAUUUUUAGGGAACCUGACUCUAACCAGUAAUCUAUGCUAGAUCAACGCUUCUCAAUGGCGAAUCCCAAGUCAUUUUGUCUCUUUGGCUCGCCAACCUUUGACGCAGUAAAUUAACAAACCGACUGUGCAAUCCUUUCAAAACAUACAAAGCGGUCGCCUUUGCAUAUGCUGAAAAGCUUACUUCUUAAGGGCCAUGGACGGAAGCGUCAGCCCGUAGUGCGGAGAAACGAUGAAUACUUGGCGAGAAGGCUAAGUACGGGUUCUAGGCCUCAAAAACCCUUUUUUGGGGAAUAUUGACAACCUUCAGCUAGAUAGGUUUUAAUGGCUCAUGAUAAUGGUGGAAAAGGAAAUAAAUAUAAAAAUAGAAAAUAAAAUUUUAUUCAAAGAAAAUAUGAAGAAACAAAAGCCUAGACUUUUAGGGGGAGAGUGUUUAUAGAAAAAGAUGAACACCCCAAAUAGAGUCACUUCACCCCCUAUUUAUAGUGCUAGGGAGAUAAUCUAAUUUAACUUAAAUUCUAAAAAGAUAAAUACAUUUAAUUAAAGAUAAUUAAAAUAAAAUCCUAAAAUUAAAUAAUCCUAAUAAUUAUCUUAAUAAUAAUUAUUCUAAUAUAAAUAAAAUGGAGUCUUAUAAAAUAAAAUCUCUUCUUUUUGAGUUUUCAGUCCUUGUGUCAUCCAUGCUCGCACUUUUGGAACAAUCUUUUUCCUGUGUCGCAUAUCAGCCCAUUGUGUCUCCAAAUUCGCACUUUUGUCCCUUAAUUUUUCUUUUUGCCUCCAAAUCAGUCCUUUAAAGAUAAAAAGACAUAAAUAGCUAAAAUUAGUAUGAUCAAGCUCAGAAUAAAUAUAUAAUUAGCACAUAAAAACAUGACAUUCUAGAGUGUUAUCAGGCCAGCUUAUUUUGCAGAAUGGCUGAGCAAACUGCAUUCAUCUCCACAUGCGAUGCCUCAUCUAACUUCCGUUUAUUCGCUAAAAGCUCCUUUAAAAAUUUGACUGUGUUCAGCAUCUACGAAAAAGCUUCAAUAAACGGUAAGUUAAUAUGUAAUUUCUUUAAAAUUUUAAGGAAUUUACCGAAUUGUUCGUCUGAGUGGUCUUUCCUUGUCGUAUUUGGGUAUAGUACACGUGGUUUGUACUCUUUACUUACCUGUUUUUGCUCAUUAUGGUCCACCUUACCUCUACCUUUACUUACCACAAUUUCUUGCCUUAGUUCUGGUUGAGGUGCAACUAACCCUUCCUCAUCUUGAAUGGUAAUCGCAUUGAGCUAUUCCCUUGGAUUAGAUUUAGUGUUACUCAACAGGCUACCUUGUGGUCGUUCAGAUACCAAUUUAGCAAGCUGGCUUAUCUGAGUUUUGAGCCCUUGAAUCGACACUUGUUGAUUCUUAAGUGCUUUCUUGGUAUUCUAAAAACAAGUUUCUAACACUGAGAUGAAUUUUGUUAGCAUCUCCUCAAGGUUCAGCUUUUUCUCUUGUUGGUAAGGUGGUUGUUGGAAGCCUGGAGGUGGUGGGGGUCUCUGAUUUCCUUGGCCUCCCCAUGAAAAAUUUGGAUGGUUCCUCCAACCUGCAUUUUAAGUGUUACUAUAAGGAUUAUUUUAAGAUCGAGGAUUAUUACCCAUGUAAUUCAACUGCUCAUUUUCCAUACUGUGGCCAUAAGGUGGGUAUUCUGAAUUGCUUGAUCCACCUCUACUUGCUUCGCACUGCAUUACUAGGUGAACCUGUGAAUAACCAAAUAACCCGUCAAUUUUCUUAUUUAAUAGUUCUACCUGACUAGAGAGCAUCAUGACUAAAUCAACGUUAAAAACGUCAGUUGUUUUAGUCGGCUUUGUCCUCAUUACUUGCCACUGAUAAUUAUUCAGUGAGAUCUCUUCUAUAAAUUCAUAAGCAUCUUCAGAUGUCCUAUUAUUGAUAGUCCCACCAGCGGAUGCAUCGAUAAGUUGCCUUGUUGAGGGGUUUACACCGUUGUAAAACGUCUGAACUUGCUGCCAUAGAGGCAACCCAUGAUGAGGGCACCUUCUCAACAGAUCUUUGUAUCUCUCCCAUGCAUCAUAAAGCGUUUUUAGAUUCAUCUGCAUAAAAGAAGAGAUAUCACUACGUAAUUUAGUCAUUUUAGCCGACGGAAAAUAUUUUAAUAAGAAUUUUUUAUUGUCAUUUGUUCCCAAGUAGUGAUUGACACUCGUGGUAACGAGUUCAACCACUGUUUAGAUUUGUUCCUCAAUGAAAAGGGAAAUAACCGAAGACGAAUGGAAUCAUCAGAAAUGCCAUUAAUUUUAAAUGUGUCGCAAAACUCUAGAAAAUUUGCCAAGUGAUUGUUCCUCAUCCUGCAAACUAUCAAACUAAACAAAUUGUUGUAUCAUUUGAAUUGUGUUAGGUUUUAGUUCAAAAUUAUUUGCAGCAACAGCUGGCCUAACUAUACUUGACUCAGUUCCUCUUAAAGUAGGUUUAGCAUAAUCAUACAUAGUACGCGGAGUAGGAUUCUGAUUAGCAGCAAUCGCAAGAGGUAGCGGAUUUUCCUGAUUUUCAGUCAUCUCCUCAGUUGUGGUGGAAAUAUCGUCCUCUUGCUCUUUCUCUGUGUAUCUUAGGCUUUGCCUUAUUUCUCUUCGAUUUCUGUGAGCUGUGCGAUCGAUCUCACUAUCAAAAAGUAAUGGUCCUGACGGGUUUCUUCUAGUCAUGCACUAUAAAAACUUGCCAUAAGCGAAUAAACGAAAAAUAAGAAUAAGAAAAUAAAAUAAAAAUUCAAAUUGCAACAAAAGUAAAAUGGCUAAAGUAAUAAAAAUUGAGUGUUCCUAAUAUCUUCGUUCCCCGGCAACAGCGCCAAAAACUUGAUACGUGAUAUUCGCGACAGGUUUUAAAAAUUUAUAAUUAAUCAUUCUUGAAACUAACUAUUAUCACGAUGAAGCCAAAUGUACCUAUCGAACAGCAAUAUAGCUUUAGCAAGACCGGAUUGUCAAACCUAAAGGAACCAAGAGUAUUAGUAAUUGCUUUCUUUUUAUUAUCUAGCCUAAAAAUUAAGGGAUUUGUUUAUCUAACUAAUUAACUAAACUAAGGGUGCACAGAAAGAAAAUUGGGGAAAAGCUUUUGGGAAAACUCAAUUGAUUAAGACAAUACCCAAGGAAAAAUCCACCUAGACUUCACUUGUUAUUUGACUCUGAAUCAGACGAUUUAUUCAUUUGACUUGAUCCGUAGAAAUCCCUAAGUUAUAUUAUUAUCUCUCUCGAGACUGAUAACGUCUAACCCUAGGUUGAUUAAUUGAAAUCUCUUUCUAAUUAACACCCUAGUGUUGCAUUAACUCGAUCUAUGGACUCCCUUAUUAGGUUUCACCCUAAUCCGGCAAAAUCUUGUCACCCUAUCUCUAAGCGUGCAAUCAACUCCGCUUAAUUAUGAAAAAUUUACUCUUAGACAGGGACUUUUGCUCCUCUGAAUAAGGGCAUUAACUUGAAUCAAUAUCUUGGAAGAUUAAACCAAGAAUUAAGAACACAUAAUUAAGAAUAAGUCAAAUAUUUAUCAUACAAUUCAGAUAAUAAUAACAAGAUCCGUCUUAGGUUUCAUUCCCCUUAGGUAUUUAGGGGUUUUAGUUCAUAAUUAUGAAAGAAAACAUCUCAAAAGAAAAAUGAUAACAAAAUAUAAAGAAAACCCAAAACUCCUGAAGGAAAUUGAAGGAGAUCCUCAGUCUUGACGAAUAAUCCAGAUUUUGAGAUGGAUCAAUUGGCUUUGCUUGAGUAAUUCAUUGCCUCCUACUCCCUGUGUGUCUUCUAAGUGCCUCCCCAGGUGUUUAAAUAGGCUUUAGAAUGCCUAAAAGCCCUCAAGAGUGGCCUUUUUCGAAUAAUACUGAACUUGGGCUCGACAGGGACACGCUUGUGUGACACGCCCGUGUGCGAUUGCUUCAGACCAUGGUCAAGGCUGUUAAAUAGGCACGGGCGUAUGGUCUAUCUGUGUGAGGAAGUCCAGGCCUUGUUAAUUUCCCAUGUUGGUCUAUUUUCUUCGUUUUCGGCCCAUUUCUUAUGCUCACCUAAGUAUAAAACAUGAAAUUAAAGGAUUAGGAGUAUCGAAUUCACCAAAUCUAAUGAUAAUUCAUCCAAAAAUAUGCUAAGCAUGAGGUAAGAAUAUGUAUAAAUUAUGGUUUAUCAAUGGACUAUCACAGAAGGUGUCAUAGGUUUCUCCAACAUGGGCUUAUACAUAAUUUCAUGUAUUGUGAUCUGCCAUUUCAAAUUAUACAUUAUCGAAGGCUACACCAUAAGCAUAUAUACAGACAUAUCUUGCAAUGGGUCUUAGCCAUAUAGCUUACACACACAUUCAUGUAUUGUAAUCUGCCAAUCCAAUCUUCAUCUUAUUAGAGGCUACACCAUGAGUGUUUCCAAAUCAAAGUAAGAUGUCAUGGGUCUCAACCUUAUAGUUUAUUCUUGUUUUCGUAUCGUGAUCUGCCAGUCUAGUUAGCAAUAUAACUGCCCUACCAGAGGCAUCAUAGAGGAAAAUUUGCUCAGCAUUUACUUCCCUAGAUGAUCACCUUUUUACUAGCUCAUACAUCUCCUACAUCAGACCUUACCUGCAUGCUUACCAAACAUUAUUCUUUUUAAUAGAAUUUAUACAUAUCAUCGUAGCACAUCUUUCAUCUUUGCUAAACUCAUAUUUAUACUAAUUUCUGUAGACAUCAUCAUCACAUAUAUAUAUGCUUCUUGUUUGAACAGUUCAUAUCAAAAAGUCAGGAUAGAGACCCACUUAACUCUCAUCUAUUGCAGUUCAAAGUUCUGGACUCAACCACCCUUCUCAAACCAACAGUAAAAACUGCUUACAAAACAUAGAAUCACCAUUAAAACUCAUUUACAUACAAAUUACCAUCAUCUUAAUCACUUUUCCGCUGCUAAUUAAUAAAUAAAUGUUGAGUAGUAAAUAAAUAAAAAAUUAACUAAGUUUUCAAAAAAAAAAAGUCACUGUGAUGAGAAGAAUAAGUUUUCAAAAACAAAAGUCACCGUGAUGAGAAGAAUGUCAAAAUUAAUUGGUUUUUGUUAACUCAUAUGUUUUUCUAAAAAUAGGUUAAGUUUUCUUCUGAAAUAAACAAAUAUUUUGAAAUGAUUGUUUUAUAAACUCCAAUCAUAGGCCAUCUUAGUGGUCGAUGUAAUCUCCCAAAUUCGGUUCUAACAUCUAGGUUGGGUUGGAGAGGUUACAAUAUAUAUAGAAGGAUUCAUCAAUAAUGGAAACUUGAAUACAAGCAAAGAAAGAAAUCAAUCAAUGUGAAUUACUAACAAGUUCAAAAGCAUAUAUUUGGAUUAUAUUUUGUAAAGUACAAGAAUGUCAAGGAAUUAGACAUUUUGUUUUGAUAGUGAUUAUAUUUUAUAUAUAUUUACUUUUAUGCACUUUCAUAUUGAGUUGAUCAACAGUUUUGAAACUUUAUAGAAAACUUCAAGGUAUCACUUGUUGCGUAAGUGAUAUUUUACUAAGGGUGCAUAAUUGGAGGCCUCCUAGAUAUGUGAAAAUAAUGUUUAAAAAUCCAUCAAAUAGUAAAAACAUAAAUGAAAUAGCAUAUUGAUAUAUAUGGUAUCUUGAGUGUUGAAUUAAACAUUCUUUAGUAAAAGAAUGUACAUUUUGCACAUUGUGGGUGUGUUGGUUUCUUAUAUAUCAAUUAAGCACAAAUUAAAGAAAAAUAAUAUAUAUCACCAUAGUGUUGUAAUAUUUUGUAAAAUUUGUAAAAUUAUAUAAGCAAAAAAGUUUACCUAUCUCGUUAAAUAAAACUCAUUGAGUUGGUUCUUAAUAUUGAAGAAUUAGAGUGGUUGACUUCUUUAUUCAUUUUAUCCAACUACAAGUUGGAUUAAAGUUGUGGAAAUAGAAUGGUUGAAAAUUUGUGUUAAUGAGAAUUAAAGUUGUGGCCACAACUGAUGCCGACUAUUUUCUAGAAACAGGGACUGAUGUCCAAAACAUGUAGUAAAAUAAAAUUUUAGACAUGUUAGCAUAUGAAUUUAUUAUAUUAUAGAUUCAAUGUAACACCCCUAUCCUAUCUCUGUUGCUGGAUUAGGAUUUCAGACUAUUACUAAGAAAAAUAGAACAUUUAACUUUCCAACAGAAACAAUUAUACAAUUAAAUACCAACAUAUAUCAAUUAAAUCUAAUCAUGGCAAAUAUUACACUUAUAGACCUUGAAUCGAGCCUAUGGAGCCCUAGAAAAAAUUUAGGAACAAUUUGGGAUCAAAUCGAAACAAAUCAAAACAUUUUGAAAAAAAUAUAAAAAUUUGGGAAAACAGGGGUCACACGGUUGUAUGGCCAAGUCGUGUGACAAAGCCUACACCGCGUAAACAUUAGAAGUCAAAACACUCAACUGUGUCCCAGCCUGUGUGUCUACUCAUGUGUAUAAUCGAAAUAGGGUCACACAGCUGUGCUGCAGACUGUAAACCGUGUGUGUAUUCGAAGUUAGGUCACACGACCAUGUGACCGACCGUGCCACAAACUGUUUUGAGACACACGGUCGUGUCACAGACCAUGUGAAAUAUGCACCUAAAAUAAUAAAUAUACACGACCAUGUGUGGUGACUAUGUGUGGCACAUGGUCGUGUGGUAGCUUGUGUCUCAGGCUGUGUGCUCCAUUUUUAACCCCUAAAUUAAGUUAAUCAAGCAUCAUUUCUUGCACAGCAAGACAUACCAUAUCUAACUAAUUUUACAUGGUAAAAAUCACAUUCAGAUCACCAAAUACAUACCAAAAUUUCAUUCAUCCUAUGUCUAACCAAUAUACCAUCAAAAGGCAUCUCAAUCCAUACAUUCAUUCAACUCAAGAACAAAGUUACAAUAAAGGAACAAGUUUUAUCAUUAGUUAACCAUUCAUGCCUAAAACCACCAAUCUAAUUGACGAAAAUAUGGGCAUACUCAACAAGCAACCAUUUCAAAACAUCAUCACCAAAUCUUUAUAUACCAUUUAGGAUCAACUUAAUUAUAUCCAACACAAGUACACAUCCAAAACAAAGCACAUCACUAGAAAUACCAAAAUAACUUAACGAUUUACACAUCAACAAUAAGACACCACAUCCCAAAAUGAAAUACAAAAGCUACCGAGAUGGCUGGAUAGUGUGUGCUCCAAAACAAUUCGUCUAGUCAGUCCAUAAAACGCCAACUCAACCAAUAUAGAUAAACAAAAAAGAUAAGUUCUAAUUCUUGAUAUUCAAAUGCAAGAUCACACCACAUUAGUAUAUAUUUAUUUACAUCAUAAAUGAUACCUUCCAAAAGUCAUAACCAAUUCAUCAUCCAAAAUUUCUCAAUACAACCAUUAACAUUUAUAAAACAAAAACUUCAUAGAAACAUUUAUCAUUUAGUAGUAAUAUAACUAUCCAACAAAAUUGAACAAAUAAAUGAGUUUUAAGUCAUUUGAUGCAUAUCCCGCUGAACUAUAGUAACUAGACUCGGAUACUCAAUGAUGCAUAACAGAGGCACCAAAGUGCAAACAGAGGAAGGAAUAUGCAAUCAAAGGCAUUGAAGUGCAAACAAAUGCACCAAAGUGCAAACCCGUACAAGCGCACAUUAAAACCCUAUUGGCAUACUAAUCGUAUCCUAAUCAUUUACUAUGUUCAAUGGGGCAUUAAGAAUGGGGCAUUAUACUUAAAAUCGCAAUACCAAUAAAUCCAUCAUUUAGAGGCACUUCUUAUUUCCGUACACAUAAUAACAAUAAUUACCAUCAUCAAACAUUCAUUUUAUAUUUGUACUUAAUUACAAAUUUUAAUAAUAUAUAAGUAACUAAUGAAAUUUCCCAUAUAUACCAUUAACUAGAAAAAAAUAAUAUAAUCAUAAAGAGAUACACAUAUACAUAUUAUUACAUUAUGAACUUACCUGCAAUCCACUUCCAAAUAAUAUACAGGGACUACUCCGCAAUUUUUCUCUUUCCUCGAUUAUUGUCUUUUUGACUCGGUUCUUGAUCUAUAUAAUAAUUAAAUUUAAUUUAUUAAAUUUACAUAAUUUAAAAAUCAAUUCAAUGCAUGACACCCUUAUGUUUUCAUUAUUUUCACAUUUUCCUUAAACUUUUACAUUUCUCACAAUUUAGUCCCUAAACCCGAAAUUCCAAAAUUUAACAAAAUUUUACAAUUUUCCAUGCUAGCCGAACUUCUUUCUAAACUAGUACAAUCCCCAAUUAUUUACAAUUCACAAAAUUUCUAUGCAAAUUUUAAUUAUUUACACAUUGAUCAUUAAACUCAAAAUUAACACAAAUUCUUUUACAAAAAUAUCCUAAUCAACAUUCAAAUAUAUACAACUACCAUUAAAAAUCAUGAACACCAAAAUUCCAUUACUAACCAAUCCCUAAAACUUCAACAUUUUUAUAAUUUCAUCCUCAGGUUUAAUAGUUUAAGCUACAACGAGUUCAAAAAAUAUAAAAAUUAUUAAAUAUGUGAGAGAGAAACACUUACAUGCACCAAUUUGCUAACCGAAACUUUAAGCUCAAAAAAUGGAGUUUCUUUUUUUCUUUUUCUUUUUUGGUAGGAGAGAGUUGAGAAGAUGAUGAUACCAUAUUUUAUCUUUUGUUUCUUUUCUUUAAUUAAACUAAUUACCAAAUUAACCUUUUAAUCUGAACUAAAUUAUUAACAUAACAUGACCAUAAUUUUCCAUUAACUAACCAUAAGGUUUAUCUAUCAAUCAAGUCCAUUAUUUUAGUUUUUCUUUAAAAAUCAAGCACAUUUAACUAAUAAAAGCUACUUUAGCAUAUUUUACAAUUUAGUCUUUUUUACUAAAUUAACUAACUAGACAUUAAAAUUUCUUAUCCAAAUUUUAAUACGACUCAAAUAUAACUCUAUAAACAUAAAAUAAACAUAAAAUACUAACUCACUUGUUGGAAUUAUGGUCCUGAAAUAACCAUUUUCGAUACUACUGAAAAAUGGGAUAUUACAUUCAAUCUCUAAUUUAUGCUAAUGAAUGUGAGAGAAUAAUUUUCUUUGUAUAGUAAUACUACAACUAGAAUGUGUUUCGAUCCUAUUCUUAGAAACUGAUAGUAGAAACCCAACUUUUAAUUAGAAACCUCUUGUUUUAAAGUUCAAUGGGUAAAAGCAAGUUAUCGUUAUAUGUCUGUGAUACACUAGUAAAACUCAUUAUAGAAAAAAAAAGUUUAAUGGAAACUAGUGUUAUCCAUUGCGUAUAGAGGAUGAAUUUGAAUACUAUUAAUGAAGUUCAUUGUUUAUUGUUUAAAUGUCUAAAGCAAGGGAAACAUUAAAAGAACUCUACCUAUAUAAACAUAAGAAGUGAUGCCACUUCAACAAGUAAAGGUAGGGUCUCUCUUGUAAAUGUUUAUUAUGAACAAGAUAAGCACAUGAUCAUUUUAGUGCUAAAAGUGAACAACCUCUGAUAGAAAUAUAAAUGAAUAUUAUGUGUAGUGUAUUUCAACUUCUAAUACUAGGAGUUGUGGUUCAAUCUUCGGACACCAACGACUUAUUAGAACUUUGAAAAGCAUCCGCUAAUUGAUGGUUCAUAUUGAGAGAUAUCAUCUUAUAUGCAUAAUAUUUGUUGGAGUGAAUGGCUAUAAAGUAUGGUACCAACAUUUAAACUAAGGGUGAUUGUUAGUAGUUUAUAAUGUUGGCAGUAAAAAUAUUUUAUUAUGUAGAAAAGUCUAAUAACUUAUAAUUAUUGGCCAAAUAAUUGUGUUGUAAAGAGAAUUUUUGUAUGUAAAGUUGUCUUAUAAACUUUAUGUAAAGUUGUGUUGUAAAACAACACAAUUAUAUGAAAAGGUAUCUUAUUAAAAGAUAUAUUCAUAUUAAAGGGUAUCUCAUAAAAGAUACAUCUAUUGGAUGUCUAUAUAAAAGACUUUUCUAUUAGUCAUUUAAAUUGUUUUACUUGGAGUGUUGAGGCCUUUAUUGUAUCUUGAAGGUAUUUUAAAAUCUUAAAGAAAGUGCUCUACAUGCCUCAAAGUCGUUAUAUUUUAUAACAUUAUUUUAUUUUUCUAACUUCUAUUUUCCUAUUAUUUAUUUUUCUAACAGCCAGAAUAUAGAAAAAUUAUUAUGUUUCUAACUAUAUAUUAAAUACGAGUACUACUUGGAAGCCAGCACCCACAAACAUGAUAAAAGUUAAUUUUGAUGAGAGUUUUGACGUGGAAGCAAGAAAUGAGGAAGAGGGUAGUUAUGCAGCAUUGUGAUGGUUUUUUAGUCCGACUACGCAACCAUCCAAUUUAGGGUGCGUUCUACAUUAAGGUGAAAAAGCACUUAAAAAGAACAUUUGGUUUUUACACUUAAAAGUGUGAUGGAAAAAUACUUUUUCAUUCAAAUACAAAAAUUAAGAUAUAAAUGCUUUUGACUUUUAGCUUUUACAUUAGAAUGUGAAAAUUAUCAAAUACUAUUAUUUAUAUUAACUAUUUAAAGUGUAUAUAAAAAUUAGAUUAAUUUAUAUUUUAUAUAUCAUUAUAUUAAAUUAUUUAAAUAUUAUUUAUUAUUAUAUCUUUUAAUAAUUUAUAUAUCAUCUAUUUUACAAAUAAUUUAUAUUAAUUACUUCAAAAAUAUUUGGAACUUAUAUUUCAUGUACCAUUAUAUUAAAUUAUUUAAAUAUUACAUAACUUAAAAUGUCCUUUUCUUUAGACAUGAUAGACUUUUAACGGGAAUUUUUUGUAGUAACGGAGAACACCAAAAACUAAUGAGUACAUUUUUUCAUAGCACUUUUCUACCACUUUUCAACUACAACGGUAAUGGAGAACUAAUCCUUACUAAAGUUACCGAAGCACUAGCUUCCACUGUAGCCAUUGAAAUGGGGCUCCAAUUGGGAUUGCAACACAUUAUUAUUAAAAGAGAUGCUCUCUAAGUGGUUUCGAAGUUGAAGGAAGACAAAGAAGACCUACCAACAAUCGGACCUUGAUAGCAAAGAGUUGAAUACUUGCUAAACAGGUUCAGCAAUGUAGGUUUCAACAAAGAAAGAGGCAUGCUAAUGAGGUGGCACAUCAUCUGGCCAAACAGGGUGCAAUGCCCAAUUUCUGCCCGGGCCUAAUCAAAACAGCCCAAAGCAGAAAGCCCAAUUUUUCUAGACCUAGCCCACAACUAUUUUCAGCACCACCAUGCACCCAUUUUCUCCACCACUCUUCCACUCCAGAACACCCACGAACGGUUUCCCUCCAUGCCAUACAUACCUGCAAAAUAGAUUAAUGACUCAUAGCAGUUGACAGUAGAAAGAAAUAACAACAGGAAACGGUUUUGUACUUGGCUAUAAAGCCUUUGAAUUUUUCAUUGUUUGGUUUUUUUUUCUUUCUUUUUUUUUUCAGAGAGAUUGUACACGAAAUACAUACAAAAAUCAAUAGAAAGCAAUUCAAAGGUGAUUUAUCGCUAUUUAUUGUGUUUUUUUUUUCAAUUGGGUUUACAUACAAGUAUAAAAUAUAAGAGAGAACGAGAGGCUUACCGGAGUUAUAUCGCAUUCACGCCGUCGGUAGGACUAGCUCCGUUGGUCACGAACAGAUUUUGGGAGUGGUUGGGGGCUUGAAAGGAGCCUUUCGGCUGGAGAAUAAAGGGAGAGUGAGGGAGAUGAUAUAAUAUCCAAGGCAUUUAGGGUUUUUUUUUUUAAAUAAAAGUUAAAAAGUUUUCUUUUAAGCACAAUUUUUAAAGCGGGUUUUAGGUGAUAAGAAUGAAACAGCAUGGGGAAGGGAAAGGAAUAGCGUGUUUAACUUGGUCCACGUGCAUUUACCCCUUAAAUGGGUAAUUUUCGUUAUCAGUCCUCCUUACUUGCGUCACCCUUUAUUUGAUCCUAUUCUGUUUCUUUUAUUUUUGCCUUGAAUUUUGCGCACCGUUCCAAUUUAGUCCGAGCAUGAGUGUUGCUUUUUUGGGGUUGGGAACAUUUUCAAUUUUAGCCCUUAUACAUUCACGCGCAUUGCGCUUUGGUCCCUAUUUCAAUUUCAAUGGUUUUUUUAUUUGUUAAUUGUCCCUUUAAUUUUGCUUUUCUUCCAAUUAAGUUUUUAUUUAUUUUUUCCAUAAAAUAAGAAUAUAUUAUUUUAACAUAUAGUUUUGUUCAACAAAAUUCAUAUAUAUUUUUGUAUAUAUUAUUUUAACAAAAUAAGAAUAUAUUGUUUUCUUCAUAUGCAUAUUUAUUUGUUUUUUCUUCCAAAAUAAUUUCAUAUAUCAUUUUGUAUUUAUAUACUUUACUUAUAUUAAGUUUGCUUUAUAUCAUGUAUAUACGUAACUUAUACUAAGUUAUCUUUACUCUAAGUGUACAUUAUUGACUUCCUUUUAUUUUAUGUAAAUAUUUCCUUUUAUUUUAUUUUUUUAUGUAUAUUAUUGAUUUUAUGUUAUUUUAUGCUUGUUUAUUUUCUUCUAAGGACCCUAUUUUAAAUGGUAUAUUUUAUUUAUUUUCGUAUGCUAGUACCUUUGUUUUUUUUAUGUAUAAAUUUUCAUUUCAAGUAUUAUUUAUUUAGAUUGACAAAUACUAUGCUAUGUAUUACUUUUUUUAUAUAUAUACAUUAUGUGUCUUGAAAUAUCGUUUAUAUAUUAUUAUGUCGUACAUUAUUUUUAUUUUUAUUAUUUUUUGACCUAUUCCAGACUGUCAUAUAUGUUACCUUAAGAUUUUUAUACAUUUGUUUGAUUGCAUACUAACGAUUCCAAAUUGCAUUUCUUCUAUAUUAUCUAUAUUAUUUGUUAAAACUUGCCACAUACUUUUAUCUCAUGUACAAAACUAAGCUUGUACACAUGUUAUUGCAUCAUGAUCUUUAAAUUCCAACUCUUUGCCCAACAUCAAUCGUUUUUUAUCCCCAAGCAAACCAAACAAGUAUUUUUAAUUCGGUUUUUAUAACUGUUAAUUUAAAAAUUUCCCAAAACAAAGGCAAUGUUUGAUGUUUGAAAUUUUGGAAAUCGUGCCCUAACGUACUGGGUUUCGAUUUUUCGUUUAUCCAAAAUAAUCAAGUAUCCCCUUUAAAGUUUCGUAUGUGUUUUCUAAACUUCAAAACAAGGCAAUGUUCUAUGUUUUGGAAAUCCGAGAAAUCGUGCCCUAACGUGUUGGAUUUCAAUUUUUCGUUGGACCAAAUGAUCGAGUAUCCUUUUGAAAUUUCAAAUAUAUGAGCUUUUGGAAAUUAAGACUCGGUUGUGGUUUCGAGGGUUUAGAAAGUUAUGUCUUAACGUGCUGGAUGUGAUAUUUUAUUCCUUCAUAACAAAAGAAUUCUUAAUGACCAAUUUGAGUUAUUCAAAUAUUUUAAAAGAAAUAGUAUUUCAAAAUAUCUUUUAAAUUUUAGACAUAAGGACAUUGAUUAAUCAAUUAGGUACCAAUUUUGGGCGUCACGAGGGUGCUAGCCCUUCCUCGUGCGUAACCGACUCCCGAACCCUUUUUUCUCGACUUACGUAGACCUGAAAUUAUUGUUUUAAUAAAUCAAAAUGUUUUAUUAAAAUGAUCAAUUUCAAGGUGAUCCGAUCCCACCUCAGAAGGGAUCGGUGGCGACUCCAAACUUUGAUUUUUCAAAGUCGAUCCCCGUUUUUUUCAAACUUUUAGAAAAUGGUUUCGACACAAGGCCUUAAUUGUUUUCCAUCUUUUGUUCAUAUGUUUGUUUUGAAAAGGUAAAACAAAUCCUCACCUAUUGAUGUUAGAACGGUUGAAUUGCUAAAAGCAUGCUGCGUGCAUAACCAUGCUUUAGGUUAGGCUUCAAAUCAAAUAAAUUUUAAAUUAUUUUUAUUUGAAUUUAAUUAUAAAAAUAUAUUAAUAUCAAUAUAAAAUUAUAUACAAUUUUAAGAUAUUUUAUUUUUCAAUAAUAAAACGAAUCAUCUACCAACCCUAAUUCUUCAGUUUUCUUUUUAAUUAGAUGAUAACUCAAGCCAAGCUAACCAAUAAACACCCAAAAUCUACCAUCAUUUUCAUUUUUUUUUCUUUUGUCACAAAGUAGACAGAAGAUUCGGUUUGGAUAAGCUCUACGUUAUUAAGUCAAAAGCUGAAGUAAUUUUAAUCAUAAAUUGUUUUAUUUGUUUAUAAUGCAAAACAAUGACCCAAUUAAUACAAUAAAGCUUUAACUUUGUGGGAAUUUUCAGUCCAAAAAAAAAAAAACAAUUUGUGGAAAUUUUAGAGCAGUUGACCAUUUCUUCCGAAUUAGUUUUCUCACUUCUUGUCCAUAUUCCAUGUAUAUUAUUUCAAGAAAUUAGGUUUAGAAAAUUGCAUAAUUCAACCAUUGAACUAAUAAAUAUUAAAGAAAAAUUGGGUGGCAAAAAUAUCUUAUUAAAAGCGAAUCAUAUACUAUUAAUAGAUUUUAUGAUUAAAUUAGUUUCACGUGUUAACGGGAUAUUAACUUGAUUUAGUAAAUUAUAAAAAUGUCUUUUAAUGUUUAAAAUAAAUUAUAUUAUUUGAAGAUAUUUUAAUUUUUUUAUUAAAAAAGGAUGAUGUCUCAAAUUAACUCACAAUCUAAUUUAAUUUUUUAUUUUAAUAUCGUAAAUGUUUCAUGUUUUAUUAUUAAUUUGUUUCAAAUUAUACAUUUCAUUAUUUAUUUUAUGUUAUUUUUAAACAUAUUUGUGUUCUAAAUACCAAAUUUUCACUUAAGGGUAUCAGAGACGAAUCUAGAGAGGCUAGUAGGGGCCCCGGUCUCCUUAAAAUGAAAAUUAUUAUUUAAGCCCUUUAGAAAAUUUUAAAAUUUUAAAUUAGUAAAUGUAAAAUUGCACUUUGACCCCCUAAAAUUAUAAAAAUUUAAUUUAAUCUUUUAAAAAUUAUAAAGAUAUAAACUAGUAAAAAUUAAAAUUUCAUUUCGAUCCUCCCUAAAACAUAUUUUUGGCUUCACCUAAAGGGUAUGACUAGUAUGAAUAAUUUUCUUUGGAAGUCUUAAACAAACAGGAGUUAAGUAAAAAGGAGUUUUCAUACAUACAUAUUCGGCGUUGAUGUUUCCCUUUCGAAAAUUUAAAUUAAGACAUAGGAAAAGAAACUAAAAUUGAGCUUAAUUUAUGCAGUUGGGUUCAAAAUUUAAUAUUUAAAUAUAAAAAUUCUAAUAAUUCGAUCUGGUCCGUUUCAUCUAGCAGACUAAUAAUAAAUCUUAAAACAUAUUAUAUUUUAAUUUUAAUAAAACCAAAACUGAUACAUUUGACCUACAUCUACAUGUGAUCUAUGCUUAAUUAAAUUAGUCUAAAUUAGACGAGAUCUUGAUUAGGAGUCAUUUAUUUAUAUUAUAAGUCCCUGAAACAUGCAAAACUUACAUUUAAAAAUUAAUAUUUUUACGUUGUUGUUAGAAUAUAGGGUUUGUUAAUGUUUUCGUGUGAAGUCAGCUGUUGACAUUACCAACCAGAUAAUGAAAAGGGAACAUGGCAAUUAUUCCAUCCUAAUUGUCACACACACACACACACCUAAUUAAGUUAAUCCAAAAAUUACCUAACGUUUAGCAUUUCAAUGGUAGAGUCAGCUCUUUCUUCUAGUCUAUCAAAAAAAAAAAAUCAAUUUAACCCCUAACUCUUGGAUGGAAAAGUUUUUGCUAUGAACUUGUUGAAGUGAAUCUAAUGUGAUAUAAACACAUCACAAUCCAUGUGUGUAAUUAAAAAUAAUAGAGAGAGAUUGAAUAAUUUAAAGGGAAAAAAAAAGAAUUUACUCCCUCCACUAACAGGUAACUCUUGCAGCUUGAAUCUACAACGUAUGUAUGAAAGUGAACACCUUUAAUUAAUGAAUAAAUACUAAAGUUCUAGGUUUAGAAUUAAUUAAAUAUCAAUACAAAAAGUUAAUUACUUUUUGAAAUAAGGAUAAAUCGGUUUUUGAGGUUUGAUAAUUUUUCACAUAUCGAGGUUUGAAUUUUUUUAUCUUAAGUUCUAAACUUGACAAUAGUUCUCAAGAUGUGAAGGUUUUUUUUUUAUCCAAAUUAGGCUAUGAACUUAGAUAGAAAUCUUAAAAUUCAACCCUAAUGUAGGUAUAAUUGUCAAGUUAAAAAAAAUUCAAAUCUUAAUAGAAGAAUAAUCUACUAAUUGGUAACCCUAAUAUAAAAACAAUUGUUAAGUUGAAAACUUAAUUUUUUUUAAAAAUUCAAACCCUUAUUAACUUUAGGAUUUAACCCUUUGAAAUAUUGCGUUAAUUAAUAAGUGUAAGAAUUAUUUUGUGUUAAUGAUUAAAUAAAUAUUUAAGUGGAGAUCAAGUUUUACCUCAUUUGUCAAUUGUCAGGUGAAGAAUAUAUACCCUAAAGGCCUAUCAAAAACGGACCUAUCUCUAUAUAUCUUUACUAAUUUACUAUUCAUUUUUAAUGAAAAGCAAUAAAUUAAUGAAAACGCUAUAAAACGAAAACUACAUGAAUAAAUUAUAUGUGUAAAAUUGAAAUAUUUCGUGACGACAUUAUUGAAAAAAAUAAUCAUUAACCUUAAAUAUAAACAAUUAUGACAUUUCUAUAAAAUAUCAUUUAAUAUAUUGCAUCAAAGUUUUAAAAAAUGUUAUGUGUAUACUUUUACCUCGUAUAAAAAAGUCUUUCAUUUCUCAAUUCUUAUGGCAUAGUAAAUUUAUUAUUAAUUUUUAAAAAAAAUGGUUAUUAUUUGUGUAUUAAAUAAUUAUUGGGAUAAAUUUUAAAGUUGUACAUGGAUUUUGGUUACAUGUUAAUUAUAAACAUUAACUUUGAUUUUAUAUAAUUUUAUAUAUGAAAUUUUAAUUUGAUCCAAUUCUCAUAAAUUAUUAACAUAAUUAUUGAUAUAAUAUCAUUUUAUGUUUAUAUGCUAUAUACAGAAAUAAUUAUAUUUAUUCAAUAUAAAAAUUAAUUGAUGUAUUUAUUUCUUUAAACGUAUAUGAUUGAAUCAAAAUUAAAACAUCAUGUAUACAUUUGAACCAUAACUAAAAUUUUACAUAUAUAAUUAUACAAAAUUACAAUUCAUAUACGUAAUAAACUAAAAUUCAAUUUUUUUAUAAAAUUAACCUAAAAAAUUUAAUUAAUUACAUAAAUGACCCUUUUUUUUAUUAAACACGUAAAUGACCUAAAAUCUACCGUGAAAAUUGGUGGAAGCAAAGAGUUUGGCACCACCAACAUGCCACGUCAGCAACCAAGAUAAAAAAAAUCAACUUUUUGGUAGAGCCAUGCAUAAUAGUGCUACUUGUAUAAAUAUCAGGAAAAUACUAUAAUUUCUAAAAAAUAAGGGACUUUAAUAAAAAAAAAUUCUAUUUUCUGGUGGAGCCAAAUAAAUUGGCGCCACCAGUUUCCAAUGUGAUUUUUUUUAAAGUUUUCUAAAAUUUUAAAUAUAUUAAAAAAUGUUAAGUAUAAUUAAUUUUAAAAGUUUAAUAUAUUUAAAAAUUUAAUAUACUUAAUAUAUAUUUUUAAUAGGUAAAGAAAAAAAUGAUUUUUUAAUAUAUUUAAAAUUUUAAAAAACUUAAAAAAUUUAAAUACUUUAAAAAAUAUUAAGUAUAACUAAUUUUAAAAUUUUAAUAUAUUUAAUAUAUUUUUAAAAUAUUUUUAAAAUUUUUAAUAUAUUUAAAUUUUUUAAAGUUUUUUAAAAUUUUAAAUAUAUUAAAAAAAAUUUCCUCAUUACCUAUUAAAAAUAUAUUAAAUAUAUUAAAAUUUUAACAUAUAUUUUUAAAAUAUAUAUUAAAUAUAUUAAAAUUUUAAAAUUAGUUAUACUUAACAUUUUUUUAAUAUAUUUAAUUUUUUACUAUUUUUUAAAAAUUUUAAAUAUAUUAAGAAAAUAUUUUUUAUAUUUACCUAUUAAAAAUAUAUUUUAAGUAUAUUAAAUUUUUAAAUAUAUUAAACUUUUAAAAAUAAUUAUACUUAACAUUUUUUAAUAUAUUUAAAAUUUUAGAAAACUUUAAAAAAAAUUACAUUUGAAACUGAUUGGCUCCACCAGAAAAUAGAAAAUUUUUAUUAAAGUCCCCCCAUUUUUUAGAAAUUAUAAUAUUUUUUUGAUAUUUAUACAAGUGGCGCCAUUCUACAUGGCUCUAUCAAAAAGUUGAUUUUUUUUAUCCUGGUUGCUGACGUGGCAUAUUGGUGGAGCUAAACUCUUUACCUCCACCAAUUUUCACAGAAAAUUUUAAGUUAUUUAUGUGUUUAAUCAAAAAAAUAGAUCAUUUAUAUAAUUAAUUAAAUUUUUUAAAUUAAUUUUAUAAAAAAAACCCUAAAAUUCAUAUAUAUAACUGUAAGAUUUAUGUCCACAAUUAUCUAAAGCUAAUCGGUGAUAAUUACUAUGGAAAUUCAAUGUACUUAACUAAUUGAUUGAUAGGAACAAGCAUGAUGAAAUCCAUGAUUGGGAAGAGAGAGAAUUCAAAAACUGAACGCCCCAUUAAUCCAUGCGAAUAAACUUUUUCGGUAUACAUCAUAAUUCAUUUAAUUUUAUCAUUAUCUCUAUGCUAUAAUUAUGUUUAAACUAAAAUACUUGAGACAUUAAUAGUUUGUGUUAUAUAAAUUAUGAUAUCCAUAUAUCCAUAUUAUAUAUAUAUUUUUAUAUUAUGAAUGCAUUUAAAAAAAAAUUAUGAAAAAUGUAGAGUCCGCAAAUAAAAAAUGGCUUACAAAUUAACAGAAAACCAAUUUUAUUUCUUGUAAAUUGAUUUACCAUAUUAAAAAGUGUAAAUCUUUUUUUAAAUUUAUUUACGAGUAAUUUUAUUUUUAUAAAAAUUAAUUUUAGCCAAGCCUAAUAUUAUUUUAUUAAUAAUAUUAUUUUUAUUUUUAUUUUUAAACAAUUUAAAAUUAUUAAUAUCAAAUAUUAUAAUGUUGAAUCCUAGUAACAUACAUAUUAAAUUAUUUAUAUUAUGUUAUAUUACAAUUUUAUUUUAAUAAUAAAUUUUAACAACAAUAAUUUUAAAUUUUAAAUCGUAUUUUUAAUAUAUUAUUGAAAAAUAUUUAUAUUAAUAUUUUAAUAAUAAAUAUAUAUUAAAAUUUAUAAAUAUUUAAUAAUAAAUUUUUUAUAGUAUAAAAUAUGAAUAUUUUAAUUAUAUAGAUAUGAGUAUUUGUUUAAAUCAUGCUUAAGUUCAUUUAUCUCCCAACUCUAAUGUGUCAUUAUACACUGUCAUAUAUAUAAUAUAUGUAAUUUAAGCAUUAUUUAUUAUUAAAUUUAUAUAUGAUAUUAAUUAUAAUAAAAUAUUAUCUUAUUAUAAAAGAAAUUCCAAUUGUCAAAAAGAAAUGUUACUCUAAUAUUUUGUAAUAAGUAUAUUUAUAUUGUAUUUGUUUCACUAAUAACAAAUUUAAAAUGAUUUUAGAAAAAAAUAUCAAAAAAUAAAAAAUAUUUUAAUCAAAAUAAUUCAAAUAAAAAAAACUAAACUUUUCCAUGAAAUCAAUCCAAUUUUAAGAAAACAUUAAAAUUGUUUUAGGUGAAACAAAAGGAACCUAUAUUUUAUAUAGUAUUUGAAAAGUUGUUGUAUCUAGAAUUAUUAUCUUUAAUUUUUUUUAGGUCUAUUUCUAAUUUUCAAAAAUUGAGAAGUUAAUUUCUCUAUUUUACUUUAUCAGUCCGUGCUUAUUUUUUAUUAAUUUGUUGUGUAUAAAUGGUUAAACUAUUGAUUUUUGUUAAUUACUAGCAUGUAAAUUGUUAAACUACUUGUUCCCAAGUCAACAGUAAAGCUUAAUAGUAUUAUCAAUUUGGAAUAAUUUCUGAGAUUUUUCUUUUAUUUUGCGUGAUUAAGAUAUUUUUCAUGUACGGUUUAAGGUUUAUGAAGACUAAUCCUUUCGAGUUUAUAACUACCCUUUUUAAUAAUGUCGUCUUUAAAAUUCGAGUUCUCUUUCUUGUAAGUACAAUAUGCCUUACAUUUAUAACUAAUACUUCUUAUUUUUGUAAAAUAUAAGAAUCAAAUUAUGUAGUAAGAUUAAUUUCUAGAUUUUUUAAAUUUAAAAUUUAACAUUUAAAAUAUUAUCAAUCACAUCACACACAAAACCAAAGAGCAAGAGAAUCUAAAAAACACGUGGACCAUUAAUUUAGGAAUGGACAGAAACUCAUGCAAAAUGGUUGGAAAACACGUACAGGAUUAUAUAUACUAAUCAUUUUUAUUAUUAAGCAGAAUUGGAAAUAAAUAAAUACGGGCGAAACCACUGAAUAAUACAGCAUUGAAAUGCAAUUUGUCUACAUCAUUAUUGUUCUUCACUUCAAACGCGGAGACUAGUCUAGGGUCCCAAUCUUUUGCUUUAUCUCUCUAGAUAUAUCCUUUUCAAACUAUCUUUUUGUAGCUUUAUUUGCAUCACAGCAUUAUCUUUUCCUGCAAACAACUGUUUAAAGAUUAAAACAUGCAAAACAUUCUGAAAUAAUGCACCCUGACCAGAUGACAAAAAAAAAAGAGGAUUCUAAUGUAUCUUACCUUGGAUUGGAGCACGGUCAAAGCCGUGGCUUAGUAGUGGUGAGGAGGAGGGGGUGAAGCGUAGACAUAAUGGGGUGGGGGUGGAGGAGGAGACUUGUAUUUGUAAACUGGAGGAGGAGGUGGUGGAGACUUGUACUUGUAAGGGUGCUUGGGGGGUGAUGGUGGGGGUGGUGGGGGUGACUUGUACUUGUAGGGGUGCUUGGGUGGUGACGGUGGGGGUGGGGACUUGUACUUGUAAGGGUGCUUGGGGGGUGAUGGUGGUGGUGGUGGAGGUGACUUGUACUUGUAGGGGUGCUUGGGUGGUGACGGUGGUGGUGGUGGGGGGGACUUGUACUUGUAGGGAUGCUUUGGUGGGGAUGGUGGUGGUGGUGGUGGGGACUUGUACUUGUAGGGAUGCUUAGGUGGGGAUGGUGGUGGUGGUGGAGACUUGUAUUUGUAAGGAUGCUUUGGUGGUGAUGUUGGUGGAGGUGGUGGGGACUUGUACUUGUAAGGGUGCUUGGGUGGUGAUGGAGGUGGAGGUGGUGGAGACUUAUACUUGUAAACUGGAGGUGGUGGGGGUGGAGACUUGUACUUGUAGGGGUGCUUGGGUGAUGAUGGAGGUGGAGGUGGUGGAGACUUAUACUUGUAAACUGGAGGUGGUGGGGGUGGAGACUUGUACUUGUAAGGGUGCUUGGGUGGUGAUGGUGGGGGUGGGGACUUGUACUUGUAGGGGUGUUUAGGUGGUGAUGGUGGUGGUGGUGGUGGGGACUUGUACUUGUAAGGAUGCUUGGGUGGUGAUGGUGGUGGAGGUGGAGGAGACUUGUACUUGUAAGGAUGCUUGGGUGGUGAUGGUGGUGGAGGUGGUGGAGACUUAUACUUGUAAACAGGAGUUGGUGGGGGAGGAGAUUUGUACUUGUAAGGUUUCUUGUGUGGUGGUGGUGGAGGAGAGUAGACCGGAGGAG
This 50835-nucleotide long non-coding RNA is filed under the name Gossypium barbadense (sea-island cotton). RNAcentral describes it as "long non-coding RNA (GBAR_LNC001208)". The stretch from base 31783 to 31889 matches the Rfam family "Plant small nucleolar RNA R71". The record is from RNAcentral. Lineage: Eukaryota; Viridiplantae; Streptophyta; Magnoliopsida; Malvales; Malvaceae.